UACACCUAGCUAGUAUUUCAUAUAUUUUCAGCCAGGAGGAUUGUUAUCAAGAUAGCGUUUAGGGUCUGAAAAAAAUCAAUUUCGUUUUAACAAAGUCAAAUCUUUUAGACCUUAUAAAUAAUUCUAAAUCCAUGUCAAAAUAAGUGUUGUUCUGACUAUGCACUUGCGGCUAUUUUAGGAUGGAGUUCUUUUCCUAGUAUUGAUAUAGUAUACAUGGGUGAAAAAGGUCAUUCACCCGAAUUUUAUGAACAUAUUAAUUAUAAAAAAAUGUUAUGGUGUUUUGGAGGAGUGCUACUUUAAGGUGUUGCGAGAAUUAGGAGAAAUAUUCAUUAUUCUAAGUUACACCAACUAUACUUAGAAAUUAUACCAAAAUAAUCAUUGACCCUGUAGUACAAGUGGUGUAAAAAAUGUAAAUCGAGCAUAAGUUGAUGGUAACCGGAAUUUGGAGGCGUGGAGAGAAGAAUCUUACUCUUUUUCUCUUCCAUGCAAGCCAUUUAGGAGAAGAAAGGGGAAAAAAAUGGGUGCGGUGGAGAGAAAGAUUUCCACCCGGAUACUAUGGGGGGGGGUUGUUUAGUUCUCCUUUGAUCCUAAAAAAUUUUGGGUUUUAGUUCAUUAUUUUACACAAUUGAACUAAACAACAUGUAAAUUUUUUUGGCAAAAUAGUUGUCACUCUCCAUUUUGGAUUUUGGCAUCAAGAGGCUAAAAAGCUCGAAAAAGUCUGAAGAGGCCAUAAUGAGAGUAAUAAAUUCUUCAUUUUGCAUGAAACUAAACAUAACUUUAAAAAAAUAUCAUUUUGUAUUUCAUCAUUGCAAAAUAGUUGACAUUUUAUAUUUUUCAUUCCAUGAAGAACUAAACAACCCUGGGUAGACAAACCCAAACAAAGAUAAGACAAACCCUAACAGAGAUAAAUAAAUUUGUUGUCUAACUAGUUUAGAAGGGGGUGGGUGGCGUAGCUAAGGUUCAUUUUAUACUCUCAUACGUUUUGUACUACUUCACGCUACAUUGUGUUGUUGCACGACAAGUGGAACUCCUAUUAAAUUUACUGCACAUAUGAUACUUGAGUUUUUUUUAACGAACAUAUGAUACUUGCUCUAACUGAUUGGCCACUUUGAUGAAGGACAGCACGAGCUGAUCUCUAGGGCAAAAGAUGCCUUCCUGCUGCCCAUGACUGUCUAUAGCGCUUGACCUAUAUGCACAGCACAUCGUGCUGCGGCUUAGCUUCUCGCUAAGCUCGAGCUUGCUACUGCUUGGUCGUGCUGUCUCUCUACGUUCGACAGAGAGCGAGCGAUAGGAUGUAGCUUUCGAUCGUCUCGUGCAUGCACGCCGGUCUAGCUCAGGCCCUGUUUAGUUCUCUCUCCAAAAUUUUUUCAUCCAUCCCAUCGAAUCUUUGGACACAUGCAUAGAACAUUAAAUGUACAUAAAAAAUAAACUAAUUACACAGUUUGGUUGAAAAUCGCGAGACGAAUCUUUUAAGCCUAGUUACUCCAUGAUUAGCCUUAAGUGCUACAGUAACCCACAUGUGCUAAUGACAGAUUAAUUAUACUUAAUAGAUUUAUCUUUCAGUUUCCUAACGAGCUAUGUAAUUUGUUUUUUUAUUAGUAUCUAAAAACCCCUCCCGACAUCCUUCCGACACAUUCGAUGUGACACCCAAAAAAUUUUCAUCUCCAAUCUAAACAGACCCUCAGGCGCCACACCACGGUAUGGGCCGCCCAAAUCAUUGCAUCCUUCUCAUCAGUAUAUAUAUCAAUCAUUCUCGACUGAAAAUAUUAAUUCAGAUAUUCUAUAUAUUAUUGAAUCCAUAUUGAAUGAAACAUUUGUCUGAAUAAUUCGGUUUACUUUGACACUAGUAAUAAAUACAUCUGCACACUCCAUAUAAUUUCCUCUGUAAACUAUUGGACCUUUCACUAGUAGAGAAAUAGGCACUAGUCUUGGUUCCCAACGCCCAUUAGUCCCGGUUUUGGAAACAGAAUUACACAAUUGGAACUAAAAGUCUCCAUUUUUUAGUCCCGGUUCCUAGAUAUGCUUAUUGGGUAAAAAAGAAGUGCAACUAGUGGAGAUUCGAACUUAAGACCUCUCACUUCAGUCUUACACGUGUUGCGAUCUCAACUCCCACCACACAUCUAAUGUAUAGACAAGAUAUGCUUUCCUUUUAAAUUCACUCUCGAGGCACCUUUAGUCUAGGUUUAAGACACAAACUCAGACUAAAGGUACCAUUAGUCUAGGUUAACCGAGAUUAAAAGUCACACCUUUAGUCUGGGCUCGUACCUCAAACCGAGACUAAAGCCUCCUGCACUAACACGUCUUGGUAAAUGUUACAACCGAGACUAAAAGGUGAAAUUAGUCCCAAUUUCUAUUACAAACUGGGACUAAAGGUCUCAUAUCACCUUCAGUCUCGAUUUGCAGUUUGAAACCAAAACUAAUUCUUUGGCCAUCGAUAGAAAGUCGUUUCUUUGCUGAUGUUUUUUUUAGUAAAUAUGUUAUAGGGGUGUAAACCCGUCUAGAUCCCCUUCAAAAAAAAUUCCUUUCUUCUUACCAAAUAAUUUGGCAGGAGUACUGCAUGCAUAUCAUUUAGGACCCGUUUGGAUGUUUUCAUUUGGGAGGAACUGAAAUGUGCUUUAUGGACUGAGCUAUUUUUGGCUUGGAAUUAGACAUUCUAAAACUUUUUAAAAUUUAGAUAUAAGUAUGUCUUAAAUUCAUGGUGCGAGAGAUAUAAAUAGAUUUAUAGAUCCUCAUCAUUCUAUAUUUCUGCUUUGUAACUUAUAACACCUUCUUCGAUUCGCUCCCCUGCAACAGAAUGCGGCACAUAAUUAUCUUCUCAUGUGGCCAACAACAGUAUACAAGUAUAUUUUGCAUGUGGUUAUAUUAGCUUCAUUGAUUUGUGCCUAAAUUGUUAUUAUUAGAAUGAAUUUCUCUUUUGAGAUUUAUUAGAAUGGAUUUCAGUUCCAAGGAUCAAUCCUGGUUCUUGCUUACAACUCCGUAAACAAAAAAAAAAUCUAAUUCUUUGAUUGAUCAAAGAAUUAGAUUUUUUUUUUGUUUACGGAGUUGUAAGCAAGAACCAGGAACAGUUUUUUUCUUCAACUCCACAAGUAGCUCCACUGAUGUAGUUGAAGUUGUUUUAGAAAAACAAAAAUUGGUAAAAACAACUUUUCAUAGUGAACAAGAGAGUUGGAGCCUUGGUGACAGCUGCUCGCUGAAUGGAUGUAUCGUCUAUUCUAGUAGCAGCAGCUUUAUGACGAUUUUUAGCUCAUCCAGCUCCCACCCUGAGCAGGUUUCAAGAAGCUCCACCUAAGGAGGUGUUUUAUUUUAACUUGUUUGGUAAAAAAAAAACAGCUUCAAACAGCUUUUACUGAACUGUUGGAGAGUUGUGCCAAAUGGAGCUUAUUAUGCCCUGUUUGGUUGCCCCAGUUUUAUUUUUAAUUUACUUCACAAUCGAGUAUUAAAUAUAUAUUAUUUACGACACUAAAAACACAACUAGAUAAUAAUUUACAGACAAAUCUUUUGAGUCUAAUUUAUCCAUAAUUGGACAUAACUGUUAAAUAAAAUAAAAAUACUAUAGCACAUGUUAAACUUUAACACCUCCAAAAUCAAACACCCUUGGAGGGAUGUCUAUACAGGACUCGGAAUAGUAGCUAGGAUCGAGAAGAAAAUUUUGCGGCGGAGGGGAAGACAAGAGCUAGGGCGUGGUUUGGUCAUACUGUAUGGUGGUUGGUACAUACAACUCUCAAUCGAGGCAGGACGACUCAGGAACGGAAUGUUUGGGCCUAACUGCUAGAUUCGCGGUUUGACCGUGGCUCCCUGUGUGGCAGCCACGCAUUUUGUGGAAGAUUUUGGCUCUCCUCUUGGCGGCCGCGCGCGGUGGUUACUGAAAGAGAAUUAUUGUCGGAAUGAAGUCGUCCGUACCUGCCUGCUGCAGCGUUGCGUUGACGGCGACGGCGGCGAGGCCAACAGCCAUGGCCGACAGGGACAGCUGCCGGCCGUAAAAGGCCACUAGUAGCUCUCGCGAUCUCGCCCGCAAAAGCGGCUGCGAUAUCCGAUUUUCCAAUGAUUCUUGGGAGGAAAGGGGAAAAGCAGGCAGGGCCGCGCGCGGCCGGGCCAGAGCAUGCAAAGCAUGAUGCUGAUGCGCCCGCCCGCGAUCAGCUGCUAGCCUUCACUUUUGUCUCGUGUGCUGUCCGUGAUCUGACGAUCGAUGAUGAUGAUGAUGAUGAUGAGAUUGAGCGUCAAGAAAAAGAUAGAUUGGUCACAAGUACAAUUGUUCCCUGGAAAGCCAAGCAAAAAGGUGAGAAUUAUUGGAGGGCGGAUGGAAGCUGCAGGGACAGAGCAUGCAUGCAUGCAUGGGUUUGUGAAUGCCUAAAAUUAAAGCAGCUACAGCUAGUAGUAGUCGUCAAGGAAGAUCUCAUAGUUAGUGGACUAGCAGUACGUUCACAUCAGAGAGGUUGGAGAGCUACUUACUAGUCGAUGCAAUACUGCCCUAAAGAUUUACAUAUAUGCACGAAUUUUGGUAAAAUCAACCUAGGCCACCUGUACUGUUUGAUACUUUAGCGGCAUCUGAUAGAGAUUAAUUAGUAUUGCCCCCACGUGACCGCUGUUACAGAGACGCGCAGAGCAAUGUACUGCGCCAAAAAAAUAAACAAAAUCAUCUCUAUAUAUGUGUGUGUGUGUGUCUGUCUAUCCAGCUCGAUUUAGAAUUGAACAAGGUAGCAACCAGCCAUGAGGAGGAUCUGACCAAUGUCCGCACGUGAGCUGAGCAAGAUAACUCUGACGCUUUUUAUCAGCAGCGCUCUUCCUUCCUUUUUAAUUGGCCGGCCGGGCUCCGAGACCUGGAGAAUCUCUGCAUUUACUAAUCGCUCCGACUGUCGCAAAAACGUGGGGAGGGGAGAUCGACGACGCAGAUGCUGCUGAUGCUGAUGCAGAUGCAGAUGCAGCACACCACACGGGAUGCUUGCUGCAAAGGUUAACCAUCCUGGGAACUCCUGCUCCCCGAUGAUCAGCGGUCUCCUUGCAAAGCAAGGACACAGUGCAAGCCUGACACGUAUAUAUGUACGGUGCGGGAUCUAUAUACUACUAUUACUCGUAUACUGUGUCAUGACCGGACCAACACGGUGCUGCGGCGUACGCUAAACUAGUAGGCUAGACUAGACAGAGUAGAAUAAUUAUUGUUAAUUAGGAGGGAGUACAAGAUUAGGCGCGCAGCGAAUCGGGGCGAUUUUGUUUAGGCGUGAAGGGUUAGUUGGGACGCGAUGCCGGGGUUUUGUUUGUAGCGUCGUCGCGGCGCGUUUGGCAUGUCCGGUGAAGAACCUUCGCCCGCGGGGGCGGGGCGCAUGCAGGCAAGCAUCAUGUCGCCCAAGGUCACGGGCGCAUCGUUUGGUUUCCGCGCGAGCGCGAGCGCGAGCGAAGAAUCCUAUGCAGCACGCGACGGCGAUGCGAUUGCGAAUGUCACGAUGCUGGGCUGCCUGUGCCGCCUGGCCUGAUGCUGAUUGCACGCCGUGCCCGCGCUCCUCUUGAUGCGUGCAUUUGGAGCCUAGCUACAGCUUUUCGGUCGCAAUCAUGUGUACGUACGCGGCUGUAGCUGUUGCCCUGCAGUGUGUCCCUGACUCCCCUUGGCGUACGUGGCACGCCGCACGCGAGCGAGCGUGCGUGCGCACGUACGUACGUACGUAGCUAGCUGAUCGGUGUUUCGGCAUGCUUCUUUUUUUUUUUUACCCCGUGGUAGAUUCGGAGAUCAGGGCGGCUAGCCCAGAGCUGUGUGGACUGUGGUGAGGUUCAGAAGUCACAAGUCACAACGUGGCACGGACUCGUACGGUUUUCGUGUUUGCAGUUGGUACGUGCUUGGUGUUGAAUCUCGUGAAUAGAGAGAGAGAGAGGGGGCCGGGUACAGCGAUUUUGCAAUCAGCAAACAGCUAGCUGCCUGCCCUUGCUGCAGCCGGUUCAUGCACAAGAUCGACAGUGGCCUGGCCUCCCCCGGCGGCCCGGCCCCAGUCGAUGGUGACGAUGACAGUAUUGGCCUCCCGGGGAGCAGAGUGAACGCCGGGUAUUGAAACAGUAUUGACUGGGCAAAAAUCUGACGUUUCCACGGAGAUUCCACGCACCGCGCAGGCACAGUUGCCGACUUGCCGUGCCAUCACAUUCACGCUCCUGUUCCGAGGUCCACCUCCACGAACGAGGAAGCAGGGAGCAGCAGCGCACGGCCACCGGCUUUGGUGGAUGCGGGGCCUUUGGUUUGGUUGCUGGCAUCGUAUCGCAUCACAUCGCAGCGACCUCCAAGCCCGUGGGCUGCGCGGCCCACUCCUGAUCGCGGGGGUUUCAAGCGCGUUCUUGGUGUCGCUAACGUCCACUUCUUGGGCCUCAACCGCCUCGCCCUCGUCCGUCCGCGCCUGUGUGUCCCCCGGACCCGGCAGCGCGGCAGCUGCGUAGGGCGUCAUGGCGCUUUUGAGUUUUCCACCGCUCGGCGUUGCUCUCCUCCGUGCCCACGACACCGGAGGAGGCACAGCGUUUGCGACGCGAAGGUUCGUUUCUUCUGUGAAGGUGGUGUAGAGUCCAGUCCAGCAAAUGGAAGCUACAAUAAAAAGGUAGAGCAAAGAGAUGUUCCAUACCCAUACUGCCAUGCGAGCUGAAACAAAGCAUCGGUGUGUUCUCAUCGGUUCAGGACGUACGUUACUGGUUGUUGGUGGCUAGAUCUUGAGCUCAAGUACCGUAGCGUGUAGUACGACAUACAAGUCAUGUCCGCUGUGCAACUAUCAGAUUCGGUCGGUUGUUCAGGUACAACAGCCGUUGCAAUGGUCCAGUCGACGACCGUGCUGUCGCUCCUUUUUGUUUUCGAUUUCACUGUUGCACGACCGUGCAGGCCCGGGAGUACCGAUGUGAUAGCACAGAGCCCAGCCCAACUGAAAAAGCAGCCAGUAAGUACCCUGCUCAAACGGGCCUUGGUACAUUGGGCACGUGAAAAGCGGGCAGUACCCUGCUUAAAGGAAAAGCAGGGUACAAUCAAGUCCAGAGUGCAGCCCAACUGAGACAAAUGCCGUGAAUGUGGAUGCGCCCGCGGCCCGCGCUUUCUGAUGUGCAGAGAGCAGCACGUCCGGGUCUGCACUGCGGAGAUUGACGAUGCAAACUGGGCACUGGCAACUGGCAGCAGGUUCACGAGCAUCCAUGCUUCUGAUGCGGGAUCGGCUUGGGGCUUCUGAAUCCAAACCCGAACUCUCUAGAGACUUGCUCAGAUGAACGUGGCUUGACGGCUAUGGAACUGACCCUCCGAGCUCCUGCCUAAGUUGCAACUGACCCCGUCCAUUCAAUAAAUGGUACUUUCAAUCAUAAUCAUAGCUUUUCAGUCAUGCGAACAAGCAAACCGAAGCCAAGCUUCGUUAUGUUCAUGAAUUUUCAGUCAAGCGAACAAGCAAACCAAAGCCAGGCUUCGUUAUGUUCAGCACGCAUUCAGCAUCCUCGCGUGCCGAGUCCACCACAGCCAGGCUUCGUUAGGUUUGAUAGCAUGGUAACAAAAGUACCCAAGAAACUAGCUGCCAUGAUCAUCGGAGAAUCAAAGCCUCACAAAAACAAUUAGGUUCGUCAUAACAUACACUAAGAUUGGCUGGUUACAACUUGCAACAAAUAGUUCACACAUCACAGUACUAAAGCUCCUCGAACUGCAGCGUCACAACAUCACGAAUACAAAACAAGCGUACAUAAAAUCCCCAGAUCACUUGAAUGAACUGGAAGUCUUAAUGCAUAAAUUCAGUGUCCGAUAGUAUCACCGAAACAGUGCGGAUACAUGGAAUACUCCAGGAUUCCUUGGUGAAUGCAGCUCAGCAGUAAAACAUGACACGCUUCACGUUUUCCUUGAGAGCGGGUAGGGGCCUGACCGCAACACUCCCGGCCCCUCUGAUGCCGCGUGCCCCACCUGGUGGAGGCCCACGGGCCCCACUGGCCAUUGACCCACUGUCAGAGGUAUCUGGCUCCAUGUAGAAGCGAGCUCGGAAGGCUGCCAGAUGAGCAUAGUAUGCCGGGGGCACUGCAAUCAAUAAAGCAAAGGUCAACAAUUUGUUUUAUGGAGUAGCACCGCAAUGGGUUGCCAGAGUAGACAAGAGACUGUGUUCUCAAGCUGGGCUUACCAAUUGACACGGAGCGAGUGCACCUAGCGUACCUGCAAAAGUGGAAACAAUGUUUAACAGGCAGUUGAAGAGGGCACGGGAAAUAAUUGAUCGAUGGAGCAGUAGAUGUAUUACGUGUAGCACAGGUUGUUUGUCAGAGUCUGCAGCUCAUCAGCUGUAAACUUGUUCUCAUCCCACAGGACAUGGUAAUGAGCAGGGCGGCUUGUUCCCUAAUGGACGUGAAAUUGCAGUCAGUAAUCAGCCUGUUUCAUCGAAGGAUGAAUUGAAAAGGGGAAUGAAAAAAACUAACCUGAAUGCCGGCAUGGCUACACAGGUAGAAAUCAAAUUCCGUAGGAUGGCAAAUCUUGGAAUCAACCACGGUGCCUAAAUUCAGAUGAAAAGAUAGUAUCUGGUCAGAUCCAAAUAACCAAAUUAGACAUGCUAAGCCCAAAAAGAUGGAGAGCACCAAGAACUAACCAGGCAGUAUGUUUCCACUUCUAUCAACUGUACGCUGGUCAUUGUGGUUAUUAGCAAACAGCCUAGUGUGAUGUCGCUUCUGGACCACGACAAAAGUAACUGGAGGCUGGUAAUUGGGCUCCAGGGAUGCACAGGCCUAUUUCCAUGGUACCGAGAGGAUAGUCAAGAAAAGAAGAAAAACAACAUCAAACGAAUGGUAUGUAAUUACAUGUACCUUUCUGAUGGCAUCAAGUUCAUACAACAAUACUUGAUAGAACUGUCCCUCACUGACACCAUCCCUGAAAUCCAGAACUGCUUAGUAUAUUGAGAAACAGAUCAGUAAAGUUGACCAAUCAAGGAUAAUAACCUGUAGAAUAUGAUCCUUUGGGGCUUCUGUCCAGUUGCCCUCUUGAAAGAAAUGAGAAGUUCCCUGCAAUAAAAAGAAUUUAAGCAUAAAGCAGAAUCCAAAGAUGGAGAACUGUGAAUAAAUCGCAUCAUCUCAAUUGGGAUCAUACUUUAUCAUGCCACCAGUUACUGUCCUUCUCUGUGGGUCUUGCCAUACUUUGAAAAGAUCCUGUAUCAGCUCCUGGCGAUGAGCUUGGGCACUCACUAGUCCAGCAUAUUUGGUGACCUCAGGCCAGUCUUGUGAAGCAACAACCUAGGAAGGAACAAUAUUGUAAGAAUUAAAAAGUGAAAUCUGUCGUUUAGACUAUGUGAACUUCUGGCCUGUUAUAAUUGCAACAAGUACUGCACUUACAGCUGCAAUGGAAGGACUGGAAUCUUCUCCAGGAUGUGGAUGGGUAACAUCAGCACCAAAUAUUAUGGUCGGCCUGUCACUGACAAGGGGGAUUCUCCUUGUCAAAGCAUCUACAAGUACAGUAUUCCUUCCCCCAACCUGAAGAGGUAGGAAAACUGUGAGAAAACUAACGAUUCAUGAGUGACUUAAGGAUGGAAGUGUGGAGAGAUUUUACCUUAACAUUUAUUUUGAGUGCAACAUUUGCAAGAUACUGCUUGCUCAUCUUAAAAACAUGUUUAGUCAGACAACACUGGGAGACCAAUCCAAGAUCAGUCUCACAGAUCCUUUUGAGAUCCCCUGAGAAAUGAAAAGAAUGAUGAUGACCAAAUGUAUUCAGCAGACAAUGUUCAAGUGUGUUUUGGAAGAGAACAUUACCAUAAAGAGAACCAUUAUUGUCAGGCAGUAUUACAAUCAGCAGAUCGAGUUCCCUGCCCUGUGGCCUCAAUACGUUCAUUGCAUCUUGAUAACGGGCCUUUAACGCCCUUUCAACAUGUUCAGGUCUUGCAGUCACUGGAGCGAGCACAGGCUCAAGAGCAAAAUCCUAAAGGGAAAGAAAACACGUAGAGUAAAUAACAAAAAUAGCCAAAGGAUAUUGCAGACAAAUGAUAAUUGAAGGGAAAAGACUUACCAUUCCUGAUAUUUGGCACAUGACUGCAAGCUCGUGACAGAAACCCCUAGCAGCACUAUCUUGCACAUUCCGAGAGAAGUUAAUACAUGCCCAGUUGCUGACUCUGCCACCAUUAACCAUUUUCUUCCAAGAAAAAGAAGGCAGCCAAAGAACAAUAGACAUGAAAGUUAUGACUCAUGAGAUUGUUAAAUUAAUCAACAAAAAGGGAGCAUGCAGACAGAAGGCAAGCUAAACUUAGAAAACAGUGCAUUUAGAUUCAGGGGUGACACCACAUUCAUCUAUUGUGGUGCACUGGCACCAUUGAUUGAAAAAAUGUGCAGUAUUAGGUGACCUGUUUAGACCUUGCUAAUGAGCUCGAAAUGGCAAUGUUACUACAAGGUGUGCACCACCAUAAAUUCUGUUCUAGCUUCACCCUUGUCUAGAUUACAGCAAUGUCAAAUCAUAAUCCAAAUGUAUUUCAUAAAAGAUGGUUCUUGAUAGAACUUUUUUUGUGGACUUAUUGGUAGAUCUUUCUGAGUACAUAAUGCAAAAUCAAUCCCUCCAAAAAAAAUUCCAUGGCAAGCUUGGUAGAUCCUAGAAUUUUGAGGUAAGGAGAUAGCAAAAAGGGAUGCCUAACAAAAAAAAGAAGAAAUUAAGUACCACGUAACAAUAAACUCAGUAAUAGUUAGGGUUAUGUAACUUGGACAAACAAACUUAUAUGCUGAGGCAGCUAAUCUCCCAGUUGCUAGGUUAACUUAUUUUUCUUUUUCUUUUUUUUUUGCAAAAUAUAGUACUUAUUUAAUUUGGAUGGUCCUCACCUAAUAUUACCAUAUAAGAAAAUUAAUUGCGUUCGAAAAAAUCACAGGAAGAGCGACUUUAUCUAGAUUUCUCAGGACACAGGCAUACCUUAUUCAUCAUGUUCCAUUGGCCAACUCUGGGCAAAACAUCCUUCUCUCGGCCACUAUCAUGGUAUUUAAGCUAAUUACAAAAUGCACAAAUUCUACGUCAGCAGCCAUGCAGCAUAUGCGCAAAUACGGAAAAAAAAUGCCAAGAUGUUGUUAGAGGUCAUGUUUGUUCGCUUACCCUUGGUGGUGGCAGAACACGAGCUUCAACUGCUGCAAGACGUUCAUCAAUUCUUAUGCCAAAUUCCUGUGCAUAUGGGUCUUCAUAGUAUGCAUUGUGAUGCACAGUCUGAUAAAAGGCAAAAUAAGGAACUGAGUCAGAAUCAUAAAUUCAGCUGACUGACUUUGGUAAAUACAAAACAAAUAAAACCUCUGUACCAUAUUAUGUUUAAACAUUACACAGUAUUCUGAAAAAAACAGAUGGCGCUAUUUAUCAGCUGUUGAAUAAUUUGCUGCUGGUCUUGCACAGGAGUCAAGACUGUAGCUUGGUGACUAGAAAUCUGAAAUUGCAGAGCAACUUUGAAAGACAGUUCAAGCUGUAGUGGGAACACUUGACUAGGAGUAGUGAGGACACAGAUUUUUGGUAGGCCAUUGUGUCCUUAGCCUAGGAUAGUAGACUUUGACUGCAGUACACCAGCGCACCUUCACUAGUUUCAGUUCAUACACAAACUGAACCUACAGCUUUGUGUAUAUAAGUGCAGCCCUAGUAAUGUAUUUUUCAGUUCAGUUGAACCUUGGCCAACGCUAGAGUUUCUGCAGUGUAUGUGUGUGUGUGCUGUUCUCACCCCUUCUUCUACCUCUAGCCAUAGUGAGAGUGUGUGUGUGUGCGUGCGCGCGCAGGCGUGCACGUGCUGGUAAGCUUGCUGCUUUACCUGUGCAGGAAUCCUAGGCACCAACAAGUGGUAUCGGAGCCGUACAACUGCAUCGCCGGACUAACCGCCGGCGAUGGCACCUAGCUCGGAGACGGCUGACAGCAGCAGUGCUGCUGGGGCUGCCCAGACACGACAGAAGGUCGUUGUGCGCACCGUGCGGGAGGUCAGCGGCACAAGUUGGUCGAUGCUGACUCACACCAACUAUGGCGAGUGGGCGGUGACCAUGAAGGUAAAGCUCAGAGCCCGACGGCUCUAGAAUGCCAUCGACAAAGGCACCGACAAUGAAGAAGACGACAUGUCAGCGAUGGAGGCUAUCCUCGCUGCUGUGCUGACAGAGUACAGCGUUGGGGGCGAAGAAGACUGCUAAGGAGGCGUGGGAGGCCAUUGCUGCGAUGUGCGUCAGCUCUGAUCACGCAAAGAAGGCGACGUUCCAGCUGCUGAAGUAGGAGUCUGAAGUACAUCCGAAUUGCUCUCUCCAUAGAGACAAUGUUGGACCUGUCCACCCUCACUAUUGAGGAUGUGACCGGCUGUCUGCGGGCGGUGGACGAGCGCAUGGAACUGGUCACAGCAACGACGGACAGCGGCAAGCUGCUGUUUACAAAGGAGGAGUGGGCUGCCCGGAUGAAGGAGAAGAAGUCCGGGGAAGCCUCCAGCUGCGGUGGCGAUGGCAAGCAUGGCAAGGCUUCUUCAGAGAAGAAGAAGAUUGACCCCAACGCCUAUAGGCGCUGCGGGAAGACAGGCCAUUGGGCAAAGGAGUUCCCAAAUCGCAAGCAGGAGAAGGCGGAAGCUCACCCGCCAGCCCUAAUGGUGGACAAUCAGCCCGCCAUCGCCCUUGCAAAGAAUCCAGUCCUCCACGACCGCAGCAAGCACAUCGACACUCGUUUUCACUUCGUCCGUGAUUGUGUUGAAACCGUACGACAGCUCGCAGACAUCCUCACAAGCCACUCGGCCAUCUUCGGUUCAUGGAGCGGAGGACCAAGAUUGGAAUGGUGGAAAUCAGGCAAGAGCAGCAAGUUUAGGGGAAGAAUUGUUGAAUAAUUUGCAAGAGCAGCAAGAUUAGGGCAAGAUUAGGAGUCAAGACUGUAGCUUUGUGACUAGAAAUCAGAAACUGCAGAUCAACUUGACUAGGAGUAGUGAGGACACAGAUUUUUGGUAGGCCAUUGUGUCCUUAGCUAAUAAGUAUUGCAGGCUUAUCCUGCAUCUAGGAUAGUAGACUUUGACUGCAGUACAACAGCCCACCUUCACUAGUUUCAGUUCAUACACAAACUGAACCUAAACCUUUGUGUAUAUAAGUGCAGCCCUAGUAAUGUAUUUUUCAGUUCAGUUGCCACAACCACAAGGGCAGAACCUUGGCCAACGCUAGAGUUUUUGCAGUGUAUGUGUGUGUGCUGUUCUCACCCCUUCUUCUACCUCUAGGCAUAGUGAGUGAGUAGGGACCAACAUCAGCACAGUACAAUUUACACAAACAUUUUAAUAAUCAAACAACUGUUGCAGAUACCCUGUUACCAAUCCCAGAGAGCCAGAGAUCAUUUUAGAUGCACAGGCAAAUAUAUAAUCAUGUUAAUUGUUAACAAAAGACAAGAGGGCACCCUAAACCCUGAAGAAUGCACAGGCAAAUGUGUAAACAGGGCUUCCAAAGCUAAAAGGCUUGAAAACUGCUAACCACAGGCUAUAAACUAAACAUGGUUAAACAUUUGAAUUCAUAAGAUGUAUACACUGAUGAAAUAACUUAUACAAAAACAUACGAUAAACAGCCACCUGUAAGAUGUCCAGCUCACGCUCUUGAGGGCGCUGGCAGGUCACUUUCAGUAGAGCAGUGAUUUGCUUCUCAUUGAGUCGCUUUGAGUAGCGCUGUCCUUCAACUAUUUUGCAAACCUGAAAUUUCACAUUUCAAAGCCAUAAGCAUAAUACUGAAGCUGGAUGUAGCAUUCAGAGACCAUUCAAAUAGAUAAGCACAAUAUAAGAAAUCCAAGUUCAGCGGAUACAGUCGAAGACACAAACCUCCAUUGGAAGAUAAUUUGGUCUUUGUUGAUUGCCCACUUGCAAGCACGGUAAAGUGGUGUGCUGGAUACUAAAACCAUAAGUCUCCAUGAAGUAUUGCACCACAGUCUUCACAGUACCGCGAUCAUCAACAGGGAAUCUAUCCCAAAGAAACCAAAAAAUCAUGUCACUGCACUAUUCUUUAAGCUAUUAGCUCAUACCAGCAAUGGAAGACACAUACGAUAGCUCUCUUGUUGCUUGUGAGGUUAGGCCAGAAAUGCGAUAUUUUCUGCGCAUGUUUCCCCUGUGAGUGACCUCGACCUUCACACCUCUUAGGGCUUUUUUGAUCUACAGAGGAACAAACAACAGUAACUCAACACGAACUAGCAUAAACCAAAGUUGCUAUCAAAUAGGUAAGGUAAUGAUAAUGAUUCGAACCUUCACACGAUCAGAAUCAGACAAUGGUCUAACUGAGAUAUCUCUGUUAAGAAGCUGAGCAACAAAAUCGAUCACAGGGAGAGGCUCGAUAAAUGCGGUAGAGGACAUAUCUGCAAGAGCACAAAUCAAAGGCUAAGAAAAGACCAGUACUGAUUUCAUAAACUACACUGGGAGUCCAUAGAAUUAGAAUUUAGUUACAAUACGCCAUGGAUCAUGUGUGGCAACUGAAAGAUAAACAAUGAAACAAAAAGGUUAAAGUGACAGUAUCUAACCAAUAUUCAGUGAAAGGCCCAUCUGUGUCGGCCUUAUGCUUUGGUAAAAGCCACGCCAACUUUCCAGACCCUCACCAAGUUGCUGGCGUCUCCCUAAGUUGGGAGAAUAAAAUGACCUACCAACAGGAGAAUACCUGAACAAGAAAAAUGUAAGGCAAUGAAGACUCUGACUUUUGUGGCAUGGAAAAAGCAACUAAUAAAUAUACAAUCACCUCGCAGUAGGCAAUUCACGUAGUACAAUGUCAAGCACUUGAAGAGCUUCUUGAGGAGCAUCCGCUUGCCUUCCAGCUAGAAACAUAGCCAGAUGGUGGAGAUCAGCACGGGCCGCAAAUUUGAUCACCACCCUAAAUACUCUCUCGCGCCUUGAACAGGAAGGAUUACAGCAGUCAGCAUGAAAUGUUGCAUAUAUGUUCUAAAUACAGACACAGCAUAAUGACAUACCUUUGUCCACCUUGGCCACCACCAAGACUAUCUUCCUCAUCUUGCAACGUAAUUUCAAAUGUCAUAGAAGUAAAUGGCAAUGGUCCAGCGGUAUAAAGGCUCUUUCUUCCAUCAUACGCAGGUAGACGCCCACCCAAAUGGGAAAUUCUAUAUAGUCUUACAAGCUCUCCCAUGACAGCACGAUUAACACCACGUGAAGUAACCUCAGGUGUUAUAGAUACCUGAUGGCAAACGAUUGGUGAACAGAAAUAACAACAUAAGAAAAAACUGACAUGAAAUUAUUCCCUACGAGGAGCUUACAUCAUAUUGGUGAAGGUCUUUGUCAGGAAGCUCAGCAAAGAAAUGAUUUGCCUUCACAAUGCACCUGUCCCCAUAAGUGCCCUUGCCAGGGCGCAAUGGGAAUCGAACCGAUUUGCUUGAUGCUGGUGCCACUUGAAUUUCUUGGCUCGUGGAAGACUGACCACGAAUGGCAAGUUGCUGAAACUGUUGCUGGACUUGUCCAGAGCUCACCUCUGCCACAGGCUGUGAGGAUGAGCCAGGUCCCGAUGGGGAUUGUGAAACCACCGGGGCUUGAUACUGGACAUAAGGGGCUUGGUGCAGCUCGGGAACUGUUCUAGAAGGACCUGGAGGAACAUUUCGUCCAACAUUACCUCCCCUAUGCCCACCAUAGUAUGGCUGUGGCAUUCCACCUCUGGAGCGGGCGCCACCACGUCCCUGGUACUCACCACCUCGUCCCUGAUAUUCACCGCCACGUCCCUGGUAUUCACGCGGGUGAUACUCAGGGGGCCCACCACCAGGGUGAUGUGACCCAGGUCCUCCGCGGCCCUGAUAAUGUCCACCACGACCCUGGUGUUGCCCGCCACCACGACCACCCUGUUGAGGCACCCAGCCACGUCCUCCCCCAGGUUGUUGAGUUCGCUCAGGCCGCUGUGAAGAACCUUGUCCAGAACCUCCUGAAGACUCUCCAGAAGUUUCUCCAGAGCCACCAGGGCCAGUUCUCUUCUUCCUCACCAUGAUGGGCACUGGCAUGAUAGGAAUACAUCAAGAGUGAGAUUGUAAAAAUACCAUGGAAAAAAUAGCCCGCUAUUUUUGCCGCUAUAGCCCGAAAUAGCUUGAAAAAAAUUAUGUCGCUAUUUGUAUUCAUGUACAAUUUUGCCACUAUUUUACCGCUAAAGUACGCUAAUUACGGUAUAUAAAACGCUAAACACCUUGGCCUUAGCUCGCUAUUUAAAACAUGGUAAAAAUAUAAUAAUUUAUCAAAACUUAACAUGAAGAAAACUGUUUAACUGCGUAUUUGUUAAAAAAUAGAGACAGAAGGUUGUAUAAUGAGAACUGAAACAGCUUAGAGAGUAAAGAAACUGUAAAUGAACUCAAAUAGAAGAUCAGCUUCAUCAAGGAAUUGCUAAAAUAAUAAAUAGAAAAUUUCUGAAUUACAGCUUGACAGCAUGAUGGAAACUAUUCCCGUGAGAAAAUAGACCAAGUACCAGAAGGCAGUGAACAAGAAAAACCAUGUAGGCAUAGAAGAAAGGGAAUGCCAUCUCACAAGUAUUAGGAAACAAGACUUAUUAUGUUUUUAUUGAAUUUAACAUUCCUUCAUUUUGAUUAUUAUUUCACCGCUUGUGGUUGGCUGCAAACUUCUAUUUAAACCAAAAGAGGCCAAGUAGAAGGUGAGGAAAAUGUGAGAAAGAACAUAUCAAAAAAGAAGCGCUCCAUCCAUACUCCAUAGGUGUCCUCUAGAUAUCAACUAUUUUAUUCGUUUAAUAACAAUAUCCUAAAAUAAAUAUACAGACAACAAGUAAACAAAAUCAACCAGUCACCCUUUCUAUAAUAGUAAAAAAGAAUUAUCCUAGCAUUUUCAUUCAAAAGGAUGCCAGAAGAAAUGUAUGAAUGAGAAACAUGUAGCACUGAAGUUGCUAAAAGAUACCCAUUUCAUCUAUACAAACAAAAUGAUCAGUAUCCUACUGCUAAAGGCCUGUCUUAUGUGGCCUUCUGAAAGCUUGUUUUAGCAGGGACCUUUUCUAGUCUCCACUGUUCAAUACAAUCCCAAUGCCUUGAGAUAACAUCAAACACUUCGGUAACCAUUGAAGGAACAUGAUUUUUUUUUCACAAUGCCGUGCUGCAUCCUUGAGUGUAGGAAACUCUAUGCUAGAACUUGUAAUCAAGUCCGAGAGCAAACGAUAAGUGAGAACAACAAACAUUAGGCAUAAAAAUAUGCCUAGAACACAUCCGCAAUCAUAGCCAAGGCUGCGGUUAGAAUCAUCACAAUGUGAUGCACUAAAAAGAACCCUCGUUUGUUAGCCAGAUACAAAGACAACAACAAAAAAAUAUAUCACCCUAAACCCAAUAACCAGAGAUGGAUACCAAGGCACAGGAGUGAAAAUACACAUAAACGGAGUGAACCUUACCCUAACGUAGAGGCAAAUAACCAUACAAGCAUGUAGCCAGUAGGGGAGGUACUGCUAUAUCAGUAAUUUCUAGAUAUAUGCUGAGGUUUUAACGAAGUAAUCAGUUCACCCGCAUAUGAGCACUGGACACCUGAAAGAACAGAUGUUCCUUUAUCUCAGAAAGCAAUUACCCCCCCCCCCCCCCCCCGGUUUCCACACUAAGCGCUUAGCUUAGAUGGACAAGCUAAAAUGAUCACAAAAACAGCCGCAAAUCGUCAAGCUCUCGUUGGAUCAGCUCACAACCAGGUAGAACCGGACAAAUAACCCGACAGACCCCACAAAAUCCACGAGCGCCCCCUCGAGCUCGUUCAUUUCAAGCACCAACACCGCCGCAACAAAGCAACCCAACCCCGGAAACGAUCGAACGCUGAAGCUACACCCCGCGCACUGAGGAAGCAGGCGAAAAGCAGCAGAUCUAGCGGAUUACGGGAGGGAGCGAUACCUGAGCAGGCUCGGCAGACGGCUGCUGCGCGGGAUGGCAACGGAGCGGGAGUGCUAAGCUCCCGCCUCCACUAAUGGCGCUCUCUACUGCCUCAGCGAAGCUGCUGUGCUGGGUGCUCCACUACUUGCCCACGACCACCACCACCACCACCACCUCCACCUCUCCGCCUUUUUUUGAGGAGGGGGAGGGGGAAGGCGACGGCCGCUUGUGGUUAAUUAGCGGCAGCGGCAGUGCGGGUGCGGCUCACUGGAGAAAGCGCCGAAGCGAGGGCAGCGGCUGCGGCAGCCGGCAGGGCUGGGUGCCCGUGUCAGGGUCACGGUCAGGUCGCGGGGCGGGUCGCGUCGCCGUGGACACGGGGACCCGUUCGGAGUGGGAUUAGUACUAGUACUGGAGAACGUGGGACGGACGCCACUGACGGCGUGGGGCCGAGGCGGCCAAGGACACCUCGGGCGCGACGCCACCGAUGGGAUUAGUGGGGCUAAUCAAGCGUUUUAGGCGCAAAAGACAGGAGAGGACGGGUGUCAGGAGUGGAUUAUCGUGCCCUCCUCGCCAUGUUAUCGCCCAGGGCCCAAAGACGUUUCGGUUGCUGAUUGGAUCGCCUCGCUCUCGUGUCCCGUCCGCAGAACUACGCGAUCAUACCGAAGCAUGAGACCGAGAGUGAAAUACUACGUAGUACCGGCCACCGAUGCACAGGCGUCAGAGCGUACGGCAUGAACCAAAGUAACAAACGAUCACGGAUCCAUCAAUGACCGUGAGUUGCCAACGGCGAACGCAGCUGUGCUUUGUAACGUGGGCACGGUGGUGGUUCGGCGGUGGCGGGUCGCUGUCAAUGCAGUCCCGUUUCGGCUAAGCCGUCCAGACCCGUAAGAGGCAAGAGGACGAGUCAAACGGGCGGGCGCCUCUCGAUGCUCGCAACAGCCAUGAGGUCAUCCGCAAUGGUUAUGCUAAGAGGAAUUCUAUUGGCUCUCAAUAGCACUUUACGAAUAGCUAGCGAGAUGAUAUAUAAAAAUAAUAAAAAAGUAGUACUCUUAUUGGCUAUCGAGAAGAGAGAUCAAAUAGCUAACGACUUCCUAAUAGCUAGCGACACAUAAAUAGCUAAUCUAGCAUAAUCUUCUAGAAAUAACUCUCUCACAAUACUCUCCACAAUAGUUAGUGACUUCCUAAUAGCUAGCGACUUCUUAAGCUAGCUAUUUCCAAAUUGCCAUUGAGAACCAAUAAUAUUCUUUCUAGAGACUAAAUAGCUAGUGAUUUGAACACCAUUGCAGACGUCCUUAGCCUGCAGUAGUAGUAGCAUUUGCUAUUGCUAUUGCUAUCGCACCCAACGUGCAACGAGCACAGCUGCACAGGCCUACUGCUGCUACUACGGCCACCCUACCGGAUCAAUGGCUGAGAUCGGUUCCGCAUACGGGGCGCACGAGCCAGUGCGUGGGCCACCGCUAGACUGUUCAAAAUCGCUGGCCCACCGGCUACCGUCCGGCCCCCAGGCGAUGACACGACGACCCCACUGGCCGCGCGGGCCCAGCGCGCAGCGAGUCGGGUGCCAGUACAGCGCGUCGCGCAAGUUGCCCGCUGGAUCGAGUAGGAGGAGUACUUGGAUAGGACGCAGUGGGCCCCGGCCGCGAUGGCGGGUCGUACUGGACGCGCGACCAGCCGUUGCUCUGCUGGGCCCGCGACCCGAUGACGGGGACGGUCAUGGAGCCCGCGGUACGGGCAAGGGGCCCUUUCGCUUUCGCGUCCAGGCUGCCCAGUGGGCUGCCUCGGGCCUCACGACCAGAAUGACACAACCGGCCGCGGGCCUUCUCCAAAGCCUGCACGGGACGGCGAGACGGAGACACAGGCACACAGACACAGCACAGCAGCGGCGCUCUAGCCUCUACUUCUACUCCUACUAGGCCUUGUUUAGUUCCCAAAAAAUUUUGCAAAAUUUUUCAGAUUUUCCGUCACAUCGAAUCUUUAGAUACAUGCAUGGAAUAUUAAAUAUAGACGAAAAUAAAAACUAAUUGCAUAGUUUGGUCGGAAUUGAUGAGAUGAAUCUUUUGAACCUAGUUAGUACAUAAUUGAACAAUAUUUAUCACAAACAAACGAAAGUGCUACAGUACCUGUUUUGUAAAAAAAUUUGGAACUAAACAAGGCCUAGGUGGCGCUCGCAGACGCAGGGUUGCAGGAAUCGACGAGCCGUAUAGUGGCGCCAGUGUUGCUAUCUAGGUACUGCGUAGGAUACAGCGAGUAUCACGUCGAUCGUACUAGGGCACAGUCCCUGGUUUUGUUGGAAGGGGACGAGACAGUUCUUCCUCGUCUCCGUGCUUCAGAGUUCACAUCAAGGGGGGAAGCGGGGCGCACAGUGAAAAGAUUUGCUGGGAUGCAAAAAAAGUAGUGUGGAUCGGUCCUAUAACUGUUAACGUGACUGCGUUUCGAUGUCACCACGAUGUUUGUUGCAAAGCGAUGAAUUCGGUGUUGACGAUGUGUCUAAGAACGACGAACAUCACUACUAGCUGUCACUGACUCACUGCAUUAGCACGUUGCCUUUGCCAUUCACGAGCAAAUAUUGGCAAGUCAUGAAAUAAGACAGUUUGGGUGUCUCUCGAAGCCACUGUUUCUAAAUAAUGAUGACUCCUCUCAUCUUUCACGGAAAGGAGAGGCUAGCCAAUGGAAACAAAGAAAAUGAAGCUUUUUGUCGGGACUUUUAAAUCUAAUAUGUCAAUGUUUUCUCACCUUUUAUACGAGAAAGAAAGGUUACGCGGUGAGAAAAGAAAAUGAAGCUUUAUUCAAAAGAAACAAGCAAGCAUCUUUCCUGCUGCCAUUGUCACAUAUAGCCUUUUCAGAGACUAGCCUCGCUGAUUUUCGUCACGACUUUAGAAUAUUUUAUUAAAGAGUUUUUUUUCAUUUUUAUUGAAUCUUUUGCCUCGUAAACUUCUAUAGUUUUCCUUGAUAAAGUAGGAAGUGCAUGCGCAACACUGGUAGGAGAAAAAAAAAUCAAACAAGGGUGCUGCUACAAUCGUGUGAAAUUGUGUUCAAUGAUAGUGAACGCCCACCCAUAUGCCACUAUGCCAGUGUGUCUCGGUGGAGUUGACGAUUCGAAAAUCGAAUCAAAUUGUCCCAUAUAUCUACAAGGUGAAAUAUUGUUUACUAAAUGGACACCAAUAGCGGACUCAAUGCUCGAAUGGACCCCGAGUAAUAAGGAUCAAGACGCCAAUGACAUUUUGUGUCUUUAACCUUCCAACAAGACGUAAAAGCAAUAAAUUUUUCAAAGUGCAUCGGCGCCAAAGCCCGGAUGAACGCCUAAGUUACCAGGCCCUAAGUCCACCACUGGUGGACAUCGAGGUUCAGUGGAGUUAGAGAAUUUUACGUGGAAAGUGUCCCUUAUGGUUCAAAAAUUAUAUGAAAUUUCCCCUUGUUUGGCGGAAGCAGCAAAGGCGUAUGCUUCAUCACCAAUUCAGGCCGGUCUUUGAUUGUCUUCUGUUGUUGCUUUGUUGGUGUGUCUCGAAGUAGAGGAACAAGCGCACUUUCGAUAACAAGGCUUCUUCGAUCGCCAUGGUGGUUAGGGAUGCUGCACUAGAGGAUGGGUUCAGGCAGGGUUCUCCUGCGUCUCGGCGUUUGCUACACUUUGGUCGCAAAAUCUGGCUGAUUUGUAAUAAACUCAAUUAUGUUCUAGUAGAUAGAUCUGUUACUUUGUUCUUGGCUCCUGCCAAUGGUCUCUCGCCACUGGCCAGGCCUCCCCUUGUACUUGUUCAAUUUUCCACUGCCUCUUAAUGAAACACAGACCGAUUGGUCUCGUUCGCGAAAAAAAAUUCCCUUGUGUAAUGGUCAAAAGGAAAUUAUAAUGAGGACGAUUAUGACUUCGUUUGGAUCUAUUCUAGCUAACUAUUAGCUCAGAAAAAGACCAUCUAACAACUUUUAGUUUGAUAAUGGAUAAGACACUAGCUAAUCUAUUAGAUAUAGAUUUAAAUGGGGUCUCAAAUACUUUUAGCAGCUAACUAUUACUAUUGGAUACAAACACCCUUUAGUUUUUUUUCAGCACCAAUCCAUCCCGAUCCAUAUGAGUUAAGAGGGAUUAAGGUAAAAUAAUCAAAUAAAUUUAACAUUGAUUUAAUUUGGAAUGGAUGAAUUGACAACAUUUUUAAGGAAGAAGAGAUGAAAUGGCCCCAAUACAAUGGCUUAUAUUACCGUGCACUUGCAAUAGUUGUUUCUCCUAUGGUGUGCUUGAUUCUUGGAUAUGGCUACUGGCUGAUACAGAAAUAAAAUUGUUGUAAUCACAACCUUGUAUUAUUUUUUAUCUCAUGCAUCAUAUCUUCACGAAUGCAACCAAACGACAUAUUUUAUUCGCCAAGCUAAUAAGAUACAAUCGACCAAAAAAGUAAACCAUUGCAUUUGUCGAGCCUGAUCCAAUGAAAACUAGCUCAACUGAUGCAAGCCAAACUAGAUCAUAUAAUCAGCUAACUAUAUAUCCUUACAGCCUGAUGGCGAACCAGUUGUAAGGCUGUCUCCAAUAGGAGACCUAUUUGGGAUCAGAAGAGACAUAACCCAAAUUUGGGUAUCCUCUCUCCUUGAGACCUAUUUGCAGAGAGUGUUGUCUUUUAGGUCUUGUUGUUGGAGAAGACUAAAAAUAGGUAUGUAACUUUUUACCUAUAGCGCUACCCAAAGGACAAAUGGGUAUUGUAUUUUGGGUAACGAUUGUUGGAGAUAGUCUAACUGUGUCACUCUCAACCAAACACAUUACUAUAAGCCGUAAGGGCCUGUAUGGUUACAGAGGGUAAAAUUUACCGCCCGUUGCACAUGUAUGAAAAACUAAAUAUAAACUAUUUACGAAACUAAAAACAUAGAUAAAAAGUAAUUUACAAGAUGAAUCUUUAAACAUAAUUAGUUCAUGAUUAAACAUUAAUUACUAAAUAAAAUAGAAAUGCUACAGCCAACCAAACACCCCCGGACGCAGUCACAACACUCGACUGGUAGAGUAUGUUGGACGUAUUUUUUUUUCUUCAAAAAAUGCGUAAUGCAAGCAGGAUAGAUCUUCAUCAGAUGCUACAAUGUCGUUUUCUUUUCUUCCUCCGUGUUGUUUUCAAUAUAAGGCCUUGUUUAGAUAUGAAAAUUUUUUGAAUUUCACUACUGUAGCACUUUCGUUUGUUUGCGAUAAAUAUUGUUCUAUCAAAGACUAACUAGGGUCAAAAGAUUCGUCUCGCGAUUUACAAUCAAACUGUAUGAUUAGUUUUUAUUUUCAUUUAUAUUUAAUGCUUCAUGCAUGUGGUAUAAAAUUCGAUGUGAUGGAAAAAUUUUGAAAACUUUUUGAUUUUGGAUGAACAAAACAAGGCCUAAAAAAAAUAAACAAGCCGUUUGCAAGAACUGAACUGUUGCUCCACUAGCGAUGAGGAUACCGUUCCGAGGCGAGAAAAGAUGUCCUUUGCUGACACGUCACACGACGGUGCAAAGCGGACCGGGCGCGCGACGUGACAGUUCGCUUGAGCCCAUGGCGAUGGUACGGCCUUGUUUAGUUCACCCGAAAUCCAAAAAGUUUUCAAGAUUCCCAAUCACAUCGAAUCUUGAGACACAUGUAUAAAGCAUUAAAUAUAGACAAAAAUAAAAACUAAUCGCACAGUUUGACUGUAAAUCACGAAAUAAAUCUUUUGAUCCUAAUUAGUAUAUGAUUGGACAAUAUUUACGGACGGCGGACCCGUGGACCCGCGGGCGGGACCCAGGGCAGUCGUCGCCGACGUGUCAGCCGGCACGGCGCAUGGGCCCCACCUCUAUCGCGUGUCAGGCCUCUCCGAGCUCGAAACGUGUCCCACAGGGGCAGGUGACCCCACCUGCACGACGGCGUACUACGGGCGCACGCACCUCUGGUGGUGGACUUGCUGUACUGCUGUGGGUGUACAGUGUAUAGUACGUACUACUGCUGUACGUACUGCACCCCCGGCCCAUAAUGCCGUGGGCCCGCCGCGUCAUCCGCGCGUGGUUUUGGUUGCUACUGUGCGGCACUGCCGCAUCGCUGGCACAGCGUGACGCACCACGCACGGAGCCGAACCGAGCCGAAUCCCCCCACCCGCGAUGCCACGCACGGCCUUGCCGCGGUUGCCGCCAUGGAUGAUGGGCCCGCCCGCCGCGGUGGCGGCCCGAAGGCCGAAAGAUCCACCAGGGUAUCCAACGGCUCUUGCAUAGCGCUAAUGGGCACGUUACUGUUCCGUGCGACGCAAGUGCCAAAUUGGCAAAUGGCUGUCUAUUUUUUUCUAUUGUCGGCAGGCUCUUGGAGGUGUCGUUCUGGUUUGGUUACUGUUUCGGCUUGUGCGUUUGUGAGUUUGUGUGCGUUUUGGAUGUUGCUGUUGUGCCUGUUGUCCUUUUGCGAAAAUAAAAAUCUACUUAUAAACUGAUGUAGUCGUUUUGUGAAUUAAAAUGCUGUAGAGACUGGCUGAGAAACCAAGACUCGUUCCAUGAAUCACCCUCGACGAUGAUGUGCUAACACAAAAAAAAAUCCAAUAGAUUAAUACUAGUUAUCAGCUAAAAAUAGUAGGCGAGGAUCAAACAGGCUACAGGCCUGCUUAUAGAUUUAUUAAAUCCGCUAAGCAAAUGGAGGUGAGGAGGUUCUGGUGGUUCAUGUAGAUCUUCAACUAAUCCAACAAUCUAUUAAACGUCCACAUGGAUUAGUAGAAUGAAUCAAGGUUUUCCUGAGACGAGAUGGGUAUGCAUAUGCAGAUAUGUUUCAUGCGGUUACGGGGCGCGGACCAGUCAGUAUGGAGCCGGGGGCAUCAUGCAUGCAUGGAGAGCGCCGACCGUGAACAGCUGUGGCAUGCAUGGGCGUCCAGGCAGCCCAGCAGUGUGAAAAAAAAAAAGACGAUCCAUCAAUGUCUUGUACAUGUGCUGUGCUAACAAUGGCAUUCGUUCCUCCGAGGUAGCUGGUGCCGAGCUCUCACAUUCAGCUCGGCUGGCUCCACAGCUGUUUACAUGCUGCUGCUCUGGCUUGUUUCUCUCGGUCAAGCUACGCUAGGCAGGUGGCUGAACAUGUCACUGCAUUAGAAUCACCGCAACGGCGCAACCCACACGUUGUAUAUCCCUUCUCAUCACUAACCGCAGGCUUUAUUAGCUUAGUUCACUGAUGAGUGAUGACGGACGACGACGACGACGACGCGACCCAAAGAACGAACGAUCCGGUCGACGAACUGUUCCUCGAGGGCCCGAGCGCAUGCAGUCGCUGUAGUCUGUAGGCAGGCAACAGUGUAAUGUGAAGCCCAGUCGGCCGGCACGGCAUGGCAUGGGCGUGCGCGACCAUGCCAACAGGAACAGCGGCCUCGACAGGUCGCCGAGACGACAACAGCAAAGGGACCGACGUGAUGCACGCACGAGCGCGAUUCCUCCAUGCCGGAUGCCGGUUGCCGGAAGCCCGCGGUCAAAAGGAGGCCCCGCCCGUGCCGACCCGGCGCUCUCUGCUAGCGCGUAGCGGCGCACAAUCAUGCACGCGAACUGUGCGGUGAUCUGACGGGACGACGACACGGCCGGCCGGGGCAUGCAGAUGCACAAGCACAGCAGAAGCAGCAGCAGCAGCAGAAGCGAGGAAAAGGCAAAAAACCGGAAGCGGGCAGGGCAAAAGGGGACGGUCGCCGAAGCGAGACGAGGAAGGAGGGCACGGACACGGGCGUACCUUGAUGGGGGCGCCCGUUGUUCUCCACCCGCAUCGCCAUGUCAAGGUCACACAUCGUCCUCGUCCACGACGCCGCGCGCCAAAGCUGGAACUGAAAGCAGGAGGCCGGGCACGAGCCGGCAGCCGGAUCGCGGCCACUUCUGUGUCCGUCCCCUCGUCUGUCUGCCGACCGAUCGAGAGGUGGAAGAAGAGCUAGGUCCUCGUCUGACUGCUGCUGCCUGGGGCUGGGGGCGUGGAUCACGAGCCAAGAGAUGCCGGGCGCCGGGGUCUUAUUGUUAUUGGUGGCUGGCAGGCUGGGCGAAGCUAGCGAUGGCUGGCUGGCGCUGCUAGGGGGAGGGGGAGGAGGAGGAGGUCCGUGGUGGGUGGGGCUCCCUCGGGCUCGUCUGCACUACUGCAUCCCUGGCCUCGUCGUCGUAAGCAAAAGAUAUCGGUGAUGUAAGCUUCAAGAUAUGCCCAAUUAUUGCCGCUGGCGCACGGAGAAAAAAUAUUGCGCCGGUGCAGGUGGUAUGCGACUUCCAUUUUUGCGAGUUGCGGCUACUGCUCGCUCGUUGGUAAUGGACUAAUGGUGUGGAUGAGCCAUUAGCCAUUAGCUGAUCGAUGUGCGAGCUUUAGCUUCCGUUAGGUUUAGGUGGAGGGCCCCCCGCGUUCCCUGCAGCAAAUGCGGCUGCCACUAUAUACAUCGAUCAUAUUCGCCAUUAAAAAUACCACAACAUGGUUGGUCAAGAGGAAUCCUUUGCUAAAUAAGGUGGUCCGCUGAUCCUAGUUACCAACUAUGGUGCGUCGAAAUGACCCAACAUAUGGUACACAUUUGUUUAGCAAGAUUUGCGCUUUGUAGUGUAGUCCCCCAGGCUCUCAGAUAGCGAAAUAAACAAGACAGCACUAACAAAAGUUUAUAUAAUUUCCGUCUAGUCACCUGAUCAGAUCAUUGGUUGGCCAAGUUGAGAUCUAGUCAGACAUUUGAGUAAUCCGACGCGCAUCGGCAGUAGUUAUCUGAAGUGAUGUGUAUGCAGUCGUUGGGCUAAGGCCUUGUUUAGUUCACCCCAAAAAGCAAAAAGUUUUCAAGAUUCCCCGUCACAUCGAAUCUUGUGGCACAUGCAUGAAGCAUUAAAUAUAGACGAAAUCAAAAACUAAUUACACAGUUUAGCUGGAAAUCGCGAGACGAAUCUUUUGAUUCUAGUUAGUCCAUAAUUGGAUAAUAUUUGUCACAAACAAACGAAAGUGCUACAGUACCGAAAUCCAAAAUCUUUUCGGAACUAAACAAGGCCUAAAAUAAAUUUGUGCCGCACGAAGAGUUGCAGCUGAUGACCUGUUGGAAAGGGACUGAUAUGGUUUCAUAUGGUCUGGAAGCUCAUCCGCUUUGUCGCCACACCAUCGAUUGCUCGGUAUUGCCUGGCAUUCCAAUGAAGAACAUUGUAUAUAUGGCUGGCCUGGUGGUUGAGUUCUUUUUUUCUUAUUGAAAGACAGCUUACUUGGCACCUCCUUAAAAGACAAGGUUGUGUGUGCAUCACCUCCUUAGCAAUUUCAGGAAGAUAUAUAGUUUUUAAAUAAAAGUCGUUGUUGCCUUUUUUUUGUGAAUCACAAUAUUUCCAGGUAUUUAUUUAUUGGCUCAUUUGUCCGAAUAGGAUAUGCGAGGGAAUAUACCCACCGUUGUGAAAACUUUGUUUUUGUAGUAAAAUGACAAUAUCUCGAGGGGUUUAGGUCUGAUUGUCCCCCACAAUAAAAGUUUGAGAAAAUACGAAAUAGUAGAAAGGGACACACACACAAAAAGAUACGAGGCCUCAAAAGCCCACGACGAGAACCUGAACUUCCGAAUGGGCUGCGAUCCAAGAACAGAUACGUGUCUAAGAAAUGGGCUCAUCUAACCAUAUCUACAGCCCAGUAGUUUUGCAAGCUCUGUACCUUCUGUUCUGCAUGUCCAUGACCAUGUCUACAGCAGCGUCCUUCGCAGGUUGCUGUUGUUCUUUUUUUUUUUCAGAAAUCAGAACACAAAACAAUAGGGAGUUGCCGACAAAGAUUGAGCCUAAGUAUCUGUUCAACAAGAUCUGACUGAGCGUUGCUGAGUUUGCUCAGAGUUUGCUGCUUGCCACAUGUCAACACAAUAACACCAGCGGUACUAGUAACAGGAAUUGGAGGGAAGAAGCUAAAGUAUAGCAGAAGACGGGAUAAUUUGGAGAGCGGUGGAAGGAUUUUUGGAAUUAUUGUAUACUUAUUUAUCUUUUCUUUUUUUUCUCGAAUACGCAAGAGGAUUGCGUAUCAUUAUAUUAGAAGGGAAAGGAAAUUCGAACAAUACAAAACGAGUUCACCUGCCGUAGCAGGAAAUGAAAUAAAAACACUGCAGACUGUAACCAUCCUCGGUGGAUAGCGAUGCUACCCCCCGAGCCAAGAACUCCUAAAUUUCUUGCGCCCGCGCUCAUCCAUUGUUCGGCGUCUGCUUUGAUCACAGCCAGUAGCUCGAGUACGGUGAGUGUGGUCCCCCGAAAGCAACGCGCGUUCCGCUGCUUCCAUAUAUGCCAAGAGACGAGGGCGAACAGCGAGUCUGCGCCCUUCCUCGCCGGUCCAUGCCACAGGGCCCGGAUGCGCCUCCACCACGCGAUGACUGUCUGCUGCGCCGGUGGCAAUUGUUUGUCCAGACCGGACAGGAUGAGGAACCAUACCUCUCUAGUGAAAGGGCAGUUCGUCAGUAUGUGAUCGAUGGACUCAUUCGCCUGGUCACACAGGAAACACUCAGACUAUGCUUGCAGCCCGUGUCUCGCCCGACGAUCAUUGGUCCAGUGUCGCUUCUUGAAGGCCAGCCAAAGAAAGAUCUUUACCCGUAGCGGCGCCCAGGAGUUCCAGAUUAGCUUGUGGCCCCGAAAAAUGGUUCCACCAGCUUGAAGUUUGCAGUAGGCUGAUUUUGCCGUGUACUCCCCAUCGACUGUCCAUCGCCAGAUGGUUGUGUCCGGGCUAUCGGUAAGGAUGAUGUUCUCAGUGGCCGCCCAAAGAUCUAGGUACUCGCCAGCCUCAACAAUAGAGAGCCCGCCACAGAUCGAUCUUAUCCAAGCCCGUCCCGAUAGUCCUUGGCGCACCGUCAAGGUAGAUUUGAUUCUUCUGGGCACCUUUGUGGAAAGGUUGGGUGCGAUGUCACUGAUACCUUCUCCUUGGAUCCAUCGAUCCUCCCAGAACAAGGAAGAGUUGCCGUCACCGAGGAGCGUGAACGUGGAGGCCUUGAAGAAAGCCAAUACCUCUGGGUCGGCUUUGAUAGGUAGCUCACUCCAUGCUCUGGUGUUAUCCGUCUUUUGUAGCCACAACCACCUGGUUUGAAGGGCGUAGCCGACCAACUUCAAGUUUGAAAUGCCGAGCCCACCUAGUUCCGUUGGCCGACAGCAAGUUUCCCAGGCCACCAUGCAUCGGCCGCGCACCGAGGCAUCUUUGCCAACCCAAAGAAACUUCCUGCAGAUCGCAUCGAUCUCUUUGCGCACCCACGGAGGUAAACUGUCAGCCAUCGUCGAGUAGAUGGGGAUCGCCCUUAGGACGGACUUGAUCCAGAUCAGGCGACCGCUCCUUGCCAUGAGAGAUCCGUGGCAGGGCGGGAGCUUCCUUGCAACCGCUUCGAUCAACGCCUGAUGUUCUGCCUUUGGCACCUUCUUGGUGGUCAGGGGCAAACCAAGGUACCGUAGUGGGAACUGCUGCACCUGGCAGCCUAGGAUGCGCACGAUGUCGUUCAAGACCUCUUCACCGCCAUAGAUCGGGGUUACUGAGCACUUGGACAGAUUGGUUUGGAGUCCAGUCGCAGCUCCAAAGAUGGAAAGAAUUUCCUUUACUGCAAGGGCUUCUUGUAUGGUUGGUCUGAUGAAGAUGAUUGCAUCAUCGGCGUAGAUACUGCACUGAAAUUUGAUCCCAAGCGGCUCAAUAGGUCUCAGCACGCCAUCUGCACUUGCCUUUGCCAUCAGCCGGUGAAGGAUGUCCAUGGCCAGUAUGAAUAGCAUAGGUGAAAGGGAAUCCCCUUGGCGCACGCCCCGUAGGUGCCUGAUCGCUGGUCCUGGUGUUCCGUUAAGCAUUAUCUGGGAGGAUGCGGUGGCGAACAGCCCCUCAAUCCACUGGCACCAUCUCGGUCCGAACCCCCGCGCCCGAAGCAGCUCGAACAAAAAGGGCCAAGAGAGCGUGUCAAAGGCUUUGGAGAUGUCGAUCUUGAGAAGCAGCAUCGGCGUCUUCUUUUUGCGCAGCAUGACCGCGGCCCGUUGAACAUAUUUGAAAUUGUCGUGUAUGGUCCGCGAUCUGAUGAAUGCGUUUUGGUUUUUCUCCACCAGCGCGUCUAGCUUCGGCGCCAACCUGACCGCGAGGAUUUUUGAGAUUAGCUUGGCGAAGCUGUGGAUCAUGGAGAUUGGCCGAAAAUCGGAUGGCGCUGUUGCUCCGACCCGCUUGGGAAGAAGGAUGAUGAGGGCGUUGUUCAAUUUGCUCAUGCCGCGCCGAUCUCCUGCAGUGAACGCACUGACGGCGGCCAUCACGUCCUCCUGGAUUAUAUUCCAGGCGCUCUUGUAGAACGCCCCUGUGAAACCGUCCGGUCCUGGUGCUCGGUCCGCGGGCAACUGCUUGAUUGCGUGCCAAACUUCUUCCGCGGUGAUGUCCAGUUCAAGGUCCUCUAGCGGUACUGGGUGAAUCCCAAGUGCCGUAAAGUUCAGCGUGGUUCUAGUUGAUGGCGCUGCACCGAAGACUGAGCUGAAGUGAUCGAACAGCGCGCGUUCCAUGUCAUCGUGGUCCGCAGCGACAUGUUCAUCGAUGGUAAGAGAUGGGAUGUAGUUCCGGCGUUUCCUGCCCCUGGCGAUGAGGUGAAAGUACGCAGUGUUCGCGUCUCCCUCAGAGAGGUGGCGGAUACGCGAACGCUGUCUGGCGAUCGUCCGAUCGAGUGAGGAGAGGCCGAGGCAUCUGAGUUUCAUCCUCUUGCGCAGCUCCUGCUCUGUUUCGCUCAGCUGUCGCACUUCCUGCGCCGAGUCGAGGCAGUAGACGAGCUCUCGUGCCAUGAGGAGUUGCUCCUUCACCCCUCCGAUCCUCUUCGCUGACCAGCUUUGCAGGGCGCGGGUUAGAAUCCGAAGUCGAUCAUCAAGCCGUGCGAGUGGUCCCUGGUGACUGUCCGAUCCAUUCCAGGCGUCGUUUACAACAUGCUGAAAUUCCUCGAACCGUGGCCAGAACACCUCGAAGUGAAACCUGGCCUUGGACAUGCCUCCCAUGUUGGUGCACAGCAACAAAGGACAGUGGUCUGAGGCGUCCGAACCAAGAGAUCGUAGGUGGGCGUUGGUGAAUAUCUCGUCCCACUGUGUCCAGACAAGUACCCGAUCGAGUCGUUCCAGCGUGGGGUUCUGGCGCUCGUUACUCCAGGUGAAGCUGCGGCCAUGCAGGUGGACAUCGUGUAGCUCUAAGGCUCCCACUGUGUUCCUUGUCUUCGAUCCCUUCUCUCUAAACUCGCCCAGCUAUUUAACAGCUAAGGCACCUCAGUUCAUGGGUCUUGCCCUGUCCAUGUAUACAUCACACUACUAAGCCAUUCGUUCUGCCAUUGGGAACCCAAGAACAUUUGUUGGGCCUCCUCUUCAGUCCUCGCCCCAUCCCGUGCAUCUAGACUUGCCUCCACAUGUUCAGGUUCAGGACUGCUGACAUUGCCUCUUCUUGAGAUGCAGCUUGAUCCCAAGCAUGUGCAAAAGAGAAUUGUUGUUGCACAACCGUCGAAUCUUCCUAAGUUGCUUGACUCUCAGACCACCCCGACCGCCACUCGAUCCAUACUUGAUGAAAUGGAGACAAGAUGUGUGCCCAACGUUUCUGUAGGACAUGUUUAGGAACGCGUAAGAGUUCAAACCUUAUGGCAUCUUAUUGCUGCCAAGCAAAACAAGCGCUAAGGCUCUUGUAGCAGGUAGCUAUGAUCGAUUUGGUUCGACACCGUUGGAUCCCUUUUGCUUUACAUAUACACCCUGUACUGCAAUUCUGCAGACGAUCGCUUCAUCUCAUCAACCAUUGCGUGUAGGAAGCAAUACGCAUUCAGCUAGCUGCUAUAUAUAGAAACCUCUCCUGUCAGCUGCUCUUCCUCUGGUCCGAGAGGUAACCGCACAGAUCAGGAAAACUAGAGGUAGUGUUCACCCACCAAUCCGUGAUUGUCACAUCUGGAUACACAGCUGCUAGCUUUUUCACUAGGACGAACAGACUGAAUGCCAAUAGUAGCACUUCAUGUGCAUGCCACCGAUAUAUAUAUGUACCGAUGCUCACAAAACGUUGCGUGAGCGUGUAAUUAGGAUUCGGUAGAUAGACAAUUAAGCAUGUCACAAUCUGGUGUGUAUUCGGUGAACUUUGCGUCAAACAGCACACUCAACCAGCAUGUCACGAUCGGCCCCGUUUCGUUACCAAUUUUCGUUCGGUUUAAAGCAAAUAUAUGCACCGUUCCUUCAAAUAUAUGCAGUACAUUCGGUGCGGUAUUGCCACAAAUUAUUCAACCCGAUCGAGCUACAUGCUACUGAUGUGCUCGAUCAACGCAAACGCCGCAUUGCGCGUGCACAAUAUAGCUAUAGCACACUAGUAAUACUGUAUGUUGUCACGGUACACAUGAGGCCUAGCAGCCCAAGCAAGAAGAGUACAAGACACAAGAAGCUGAACCCGAAGUUUGUUGGCCCAACUUGGAGCAAGUAAUUAACCUGAAGCUCAGUCCAGCUGCGUCUGGAGAGCGUGCUGUGCUUAACAGCUGUGUAAUGAAUUCAGUUUAAGAAGAAGGAGAGAGAGCAAACUAGGGGAAAGUAAAAUAUUUUUUUUUCGAAAGACGGCAUAAAGAUUUUGCCGUAUUUUUAUUAGUCGAGGAAAAAAAAUGCAACAUAAUUACAACUCCCACUUAAAAACUCUCAACCACUGGAGGGAAAGUAAAAUAUGCCCUUUGCUAGAAUAUUGUUACAUAUGUGUUGGUGUGUGUGUGGUACAAACUCUUCAUAUCUAUACUUGUAUGGCGCGGCCUGACCCGCGUGCGCGGCUGCAUGCACUUGUGCGCGGCUGCUUGGCGAAGACCGAAGAGCGUGUUGCUGAGCAGCUGGUUGGAGGUGACGAAGCCCACCAGGAGCGUGCCCUGGAUCACCGUGUCAGGAUCUCCGACGCGCAAGGGUGCGUGUGCGGCGGGUUCUGCCCGCCGGCCGGGGACGAAGUCGAUGCGCGCCAGCGAGAUGCCCAGCGUGUUCAGCCCCGGGAUCUGGCCAUCUGGGCCACCGCCACCGGCGUCACGGCGGAGCCCUGCGCGCGCGUUUGGUGCCAUCGGCACUAUGUGGAAGAAGAUGUCGCGGUUGCGUUCACCACGUUCGGGUUCUUUUGCACACCACUCCGUUCACCGGCACUGCAUGCAUAUGCAUGCACACGUCCACCCGUGUCAGUACUUUUGUCGUCAUCGCAAAUCAUCAUACACAAUUAAUCACCUUUGAGUAGUAUACAUUGCAUGCAUGCCUUCAAUACAUGCAUAAAUAUAGAUAACUGAGCUCUCUCUGUAGACUGUAUAGUGCUGCAAAAGUUCAUGCUUUGUGUUGCAUGCACAUAUAUGUACCUGCCUACAAAUGUACUGUGUUUAUUUACCAGGGCUAUUGUUAUCAGCAACGCAGAAGUCCUGGAGCUGGGUUGGAUCACAGUUACCAGACCACGGGGACUGAAGUAAAACCCACAACCGCUAGCACUGCAAGCAGUGUAGUAGGAGAAAGGCACAGGAAGCCACGGCGCUGUUUCUUUGCUAGUGAUCAAGUGUGCUCGAUCAAGCUGCUUGAUUAGUUUGUGGUCUGCAACACUUGCCAGUGCACCAAUUUAAAGGUAGUGUUCACCCAACAGUCUGUGAUUCUCGCAUCUAGAUCAACACAUGAAAACAGAGAAUCACUUGCGUAACGGCGAGCAGUCAAACCAAACAGGCAUGCAACCACUAGUCAGAUACUCAGAUCAUAUAUGUGCCCACACGAUGUAUAUAAUAUUUUAUACAAGUUUGAAUAUAUAUCUUGAGAUGCAAAAUCUAUACCUAUACCUAUUAAUCUAUAUCUAUAUCUAUCUAUAUAUAUAUAUAUAUAUAUAUAUAUAUACCUAAUACUAAAGAGGCAAAAUUUCAGCCUCAAAUUUGGUCAGGAAAUUUUUUCGUCUAAUCCAAGUCCCAGUCCGUCUCAUACUUUUGUACCAGAUUUCAGAUCGAGUCCAAAACAAAAUCACAUACAAAUCAGUACCAUAUACCAGAUUCCAGGUAGAGCCAAAACGAAACCACAAACAAAUCAUGUAUCAUAUAUCCGACGGCAAUAGCUCCGCGAGCCUAGAAAAUCUGCUGACUGGAGCUAGAACGCGCACCUAGAGCCGAAAAAAAUAGCUUCACCCGGCUCGUCUUUGGUUUGGUCCGCUUCGGUAUCGCACUGAUUCGGAGAUGGGAUGUGGCGGCACGGGGAGGAAGAGAAGUGAGGGCGCGCUGAUUUGGGGAGGAGAAGGGCGAGAUAUAUCCGACGGCAAUAGCUCCGCGAGCCUAGAAAAUCUGCUGACUGGAGCUAGAACGCGCACCUGGAGCGGAAAAAAACAGCUUCACCUGGCUCGUCUUUGGUUUGGUCCGGAAUAACAAAACAUCUGGUACAGAUACACCGGAAUACACCUGUAACAAAACAUCUCAUUCCAAAUGAAAAUCCAAAAUGAAAUUGAUAAAUAUAAGUAUGCUCGAGACGGAGCUGAUAGGAAGUUCAAAGCGAAAGGAUAGUUAAGGUUCGGAAAUAGAAAAAUAAAUUUGGUGACUCUUGGAACAUAUUGUUGGGAGUUGAGUACAAUAAUUUUUAUUUCGUACUUCCACUCCUGCUAACUCAAUUUUUUAAUUGAUGGUUAAAAUACAAACCAACACAUAAUAACAGUCGAUUUAGUUAGACGCUCGCUUUUACCUUGACAUGAAGCACAAAUAAAUAGUGACUCUUUUUGGGUUGUUAUAUGAUCCAAUAAAAUUCAUUCUUUAUAUAGUGUUUGUGCACAACUUAUUUCAUGUUUGAGUUCGCAUCGCCUAAUCUUACUUUUGCAAAUACUUAACAUGUUUAACAAGACAAUGAUAAUUAUUUUCAAAAAAAAAUAUUUAUAUUAUAGAACAAAAUAGAUGAAGACAAAGACAAAUUAUGUUAAAUAAUGUCUUCCUGCCUCCGAAUUUAAAAGUUACAAAGUAUAUGUAACUAUGAAUAUAUAUGGUCUCCUUCACAUAUUUUAUUUGAUUGUCUACAUAUGAAUAUUGUGAACAUAGAUUGUAUAUGCAAAUAGAAAUCAUUAAGCAAUAAUGACGAGUAAUUUUAAAAAAGUCUCAAACCAUGUUUAAUUGUCAAUUCCUUAAUUAAAAAAAUGUUCAGUUGUUUAUUAGACUUGGACAUAUUAGUGUUUAUUCUCCCGUUGCAACACACGGGCAUGUUUUCCUAGUAUAUAUUAAACGAGGAUGUGGUUGGGAAGACAAGAAAUGAUGUUGAACCGUCGUUAGAUUUUGACAUAAAGAAAUGCACUUUUACAUGGAGGUCGUAUUCAUAGAACCACAUACUGGAUGAACUUAGGGUCCCUAUUCAAACCGACUAGGAUAUUGCUUUAUCCCUACGUCGAGUUUUCUUGCGCACAACUUUGUAGAUGGAUCAAGCUACGAAUCAUCUUGUAAUGGGCUAAAACUACCGACCCAAGUCUAGCCAUAAGGGUAUAGGAAUUUAUACUCCCACAACUAGUCCCCGAGCACCAUGUAUUAUGAAGCGACACACCGUCUUGAACUUCUUCGACCAGUGAUAAGGACAAUCUUUUUUCAUAAUUACCGAAAAAGUAGGUUGUCCAAAUAAUGCAUGGUGCUCUUAAGAAAGAAGAUUUCUUUUCUCGUGAAGUGUGCCGACUUUACUUUUAUGAAAAGUAUAAGCUUCUAAAAAGCAAGCAUAUUCACCGUAAGGUGAAGUGUGACCACUUAGUCCCCGAGCCUGGUGGUUGGCACAGUCCCCGAGCACAACGUAGAGACUAGUCGAUAAAUCUCCGAGUGUGGUUGGGAACAUAAACGUACUCGGUGGUCGGCAUAGUCUUCGAGCACAGCGUAGAGACUAGUUAACAAAUUCCCGAGCGUGGUUGGGAAUGUAAGCAUGCUCGGUGGUCGGAGCAAUCCCCGAACACAGCGUAGGGAAUGGUCGACGAGUCCCCAAGCGUAGCUUGUUAACUAGGCCAAACUCCUAAAAAAUAAAUAUAGAAAAUAUGUAAUACAUGAUGUAUAAAUAAACUCUAGAUAAAAAACAACACCCAGUUUUAGAUUUUUUGUUUUAUUAAAAUUAGCACGAAUAGUUAAUUUAUCCUAGAGCUUGUACCAGCUCUGGUCUAGCCAACAAUCUAGAGCAUGAGAUGCGGAAAGACACACAUAGGAUUGCCAGCCUCACUAGAGAGCUACUGCCGACCACCCGAAACGUAGAGGGCGGAUCUCGUGCAUGUGUGGGGAGGAGUCGGAGACAGUGCCGGCUCUAAAAAACUCGUGUAGAAGAAAAAACUAAUCGGCUAACCAAAAAGUUAUUUUGAAAGAUAAUAAUAUCAAAAAUAUUAUGCUAAAAAUAAAUAAAAAUAUUAGAAGUGCACUUUUCUUUGGACGAAAGUCUGUUCGGUGGCGACAAAAUUGUUUGAUCCUCAAGUUUUAUGAUGUGUUGUCAUGAAGGUGGUCGCGAGCGCUGUUCUUUGUAGCCAUCAUUAUUGCGACAUGACAGGUGGUCAGAGUAGGCCAAGAAACUUGGUCGAAAGCCCGAGCAGAUCGGUGUUGUCGAUCUGUCUCCUUUUGUAGCCGGGAAGCGGCGAUGUGUUGUCGACGUGGUCGGAGACGUUGCUGAAGUGGUCGAAGCCGUAGCCAGCGUGGUUAGAGCCGCAACCGACGUCGAUGAAGAAGUGAUCGGCGCAGAUUAGAUCUGCACCUCCUCCAUGGUCGUGGCGGUGAAGUCGUUGAAGCCGGUGGUCUAGGUAAUCUGGCCGAUGGUGAACGUGAGACCGCUCGUCACGGCCGUGGAGUCGGAGAUAAUGACCAUCUGCUUCGCCUGGGAAGCUGUACGCACACUCCCUACCUGGCGUGCCACUAUCGACGAAAGCUGGUUGGCAGUCUACCUUAGGGUAUACCCACAGUAGUAGUUUAUCGGCAGACAGGUGCGCAAACUACGAACUUGAUGGUGACGUAAGACACAAACAAGGAGUUUAUCUUGGUUCGGCCGCCGUAAAGGCGUAAUACCCCCUCCUUACAUAGUCUUGGGGACAAGGUUACAAAUGUAGAAAUUAAUCCUAACCGGUUACAAUUCAACCCAAGUCUAGUCAUAAGGAUAUAUGGAUUUAUAUCCUCACAUAUAUCUUUACCGGCCAUGGAUGAAAGUCAUCCGAUAGAUUUAUCACUUAUUAUUCCGUUUGAGUCUAUUCCACCCAAACUUGAAUAAUAAAGUCUUAUGAUUUAGUUUUUAACACAUCCGCAUUUUGAAAAUAGUGCAAAAAGGUUUUAUCCCUAUGAAACUAUAUUUAUUUUCAUAAAAUUUUUAUUAUUUCUCUCUUUAUUUAUAUGAUGCCAUGUCAACAUAUUUAAUAUUUAUAAAACUUCAAUGAAACUUUAUUAGGACUGAUAUAAAACUCUAAUGAAACUCGUCUGGGACACGUUCGAACUUUGAUAAUGGAUGCUUUAAGUACAUACCUUCUCAUCGUUUCUUUAUAUGUUUAUAAGUACGUACCUUCUCGUCCCCUUUUUUAUAUGUCAUUCUCGAAAAUUACUAAAUACUCUCUGAUAUUUUGAACUUUAAGAUAUCAUGUUUGACCGCUCGUCUUACUCAAAAUUUUUGUACAAAUUAUAAAAUAAAUAAAUUAUUAUUAAAAUAUCUCUAAUAAUCAAAUAAAUCAUAUAAAAUAAAUAAUAUUAUACAAAAAGUUAUAAUAAAAUAGAUGGUCAAAUAAAAUGUCUGAAAAUCAACGACAGCGUUUUUUAAAUGGAGGAAAGUAUAUAUUAAACAUAUUAAUAUUUAUAAUGCAUAAUCAGUAUCAUUCGUUAGACCUUUAAAUUUAUUUUUAUAAUAAAUUUAUUUAGAGAUAUAAAUAUUACUAUUAUUUUAUAUUAAUCUAGCUAAAGUAAAAAAAAAAGCUCGAACAGACACUCAGCGACACUCAAUAAGAGACAAGGGAGUAUAUGCUCCGUACAUCUCAUUCAAAGGACGACUAAGCAUGUGCAAAUAAGUCAAAAUAAGCCAAUGCACUGUAGUUGCGCACGCAUGCACUAAUGCCCAGUUCGCAAAAAUUUUCAAGAUUUUCCGUCACAUUGAAUCUUUGGUCGCAUGCAUGGAGCAUUAAAUAUAGAUGAAAAUAAAAACUAAUUGCACAGUUUAUCUGUAAUUUGUGAGAUGAAUCUUUUGAGUCUAGUUACUCCAUAAUUAGACAAUGUUUGUCAAAAAAACGAAAGUGCUACAGUAGCCAAAAACCCAAUUUUUUGCCACCUAAACAAGGCCACAUCUACAAUACCACUUGAAGCAACAGCUCUUGCUUUGGUAGAAGCGAACUCCUUUUUUUCCUUCUUCUAGCUAGAAAGAGACUUAUUUAUCAUCUGUUUCUCUGGUCCGAGCAAAUCGCACAUGCAUAUCAGAUAAAAAAAAUAUUGUCGCACAUAUCGGGAAUUAGUUACUGAUACGGAACAAUCAUCUGACACAUAUCUUCUCGUAGCAGUAGGACUUUCGUGCGCCUGUGACAAACGAAGCUGACAAAUUAACGUUCUGCGUGUGCGACUGUGUGUGAGAUGUGGACAUGUGGUAGUAUAGACUAUAGAGUACAGCUAAGGCUGUCACGAUUUGGUUUCUGUUCGGGCGUGCAAGGGCUACCGGCGGCUUCGACCGCCGCGACGUGCUCCUCGGCCUCGGCGGGGCGCGCGGCAGCGGCCGGCUUCCUCGAUCAAUAACGCUCUGCUAAAUUUGCUACAUUUAAUUUUGAUUUAAUUUUCCGGCCUCCUCGAUCAAUAACGCUCUGCUAAAUCUGCUACAUUUUGAGUUAUUUUUCUCAAUAAAUUUAGCUAGCUGUGUUCUAACAUGUAAGCCGUGGCUUCUUAUGGCUGCCGAGCAAAACAAGCGCUAAAGCUCUUGUAGCAGGUAGCUACGAUCAUUUUGGUUCGACAGCGUCCGAUCCCUUUUGCUUUACAUAUGUCUUUCACGCUAAAAACCAAAUUUUUUUCAAGAUUCUCUGUCACAUCGAAUCUUACGACAUAUGCAUAAAGUAUUAAAUAUAGAUGAAAACAAAAACUAAUUGCACAGUUUGUCUGUAAAUCGCAAUACAAAUCUUUUAAGACUAGUUACUUCAUGAUUGGAUAAUGUUUGUCAAAUAAAACCAAAAUACUAUAGUGUUACAAUUAAAAAUCUUUUUAGAUCUAAAUAUGGCGAUAUAUACUGCAGAUGAUCUCUCCAUCUCAACCAUGCAUUUGCGUGUAGUAGGAAGCAACAAAAAGCUAGCUGCUAUAAAUAGGCCAUGUUUGGUUAAAUGGAAGUCUAGUCUCUAUCUUAUUGAAUGUUUGAAUAUAUGUAUGAAGUAUGCUAUUUAUACGAAACUAAAAACAUAAAUUGAGACUAAUUUACAAGAUGAUUUUUUAAGACUAAUUAGUUCAUAAUUAAUGAUAGAUCCAUGAUUGCUACAAUAAAAAAGUGCUAAUGAUAAAUUAAUUAGACAUACUAAUUUCGUCUUAUAGAUUACUGACAGAAUUUGUAAUUUAUUUUCAUUAGUAUUUGAACACACCAUGAACCACAUCCGAGUCCUUACAUCCAAACACCCUAUAGAAACCUGACUCAUCUGUUCUCCGGUUAUAGGAGCUAAUCGCACUUACAGUCCAUGACUCAGCUCGCCUGUUGAUCGAUGUUUACAGCUGCUGCUUUUUCGUCGCGAAUGAUUGAACUGUUACCGAAUAUGGGAAAAAAUUAGGUAGAAACUCUGCACCAUGUCUCUGUAUAGACCCACUUUGGAUGGAAGAUACGUGUCCCAAAACUCCAAUCACACGGAGACACGAUAUAGGAGGUCUACAUCCAAGAUGCGUCUCUAUGGAGGAAUCCUGGUCUCUCCGUUGUGUGUGUGUGUGUGGUUGUGGUCAGUUUCGUGCCCGUGUGACAAACGAAGAUGACAACACUCUGCGUGUAAAUAUGGUACAGAGAGUAUAGAUAGCUAAAACCCACAUCGAAUAUUUAGAAACAUACAUGAAGUAUUAAAUAUAAAUUAUUUAUGAAACUAAAAAUACAGCUAGAGAAUAAUUUACAAGACGAUUUUUAAAUCUAAAUAGUCUAUAAUUAAACAAUAAUUACUAUAAUUACAAAUAUACUAAAGUGUGUGUAUAUAUAUAUAUAUAUAUAUAUAUAUAUAUAUAUAUAUAUAUAUAUAUAUAUAUAUAUAUAUAUAUAUAUAUAUAUAUAUAUAUAUAAAAUUUUAGUUCCUUCAACCAAACAUCCGCAUGUCACGAUUUGGUGUGUUCAGUGAAUUUGUCAAAUACGGUCCAUACUUAGGCCUUGUUUUUACUUCCCAAAAAUUUUAUGAAGUUUUUUAAAAUUAUUUCCCAUCAUAUCGAAUCUUAUGACACAUGUAUGAAAUAUUAAAUAUAGAUAAAAAAUAACUAAUUGCACAGUUUCCCUGUAAUUUACGAGACGAAUCUUUUGAACAUAGUUAGUCUAUGAUUGGACAAUAUUUGUCAAAUAUAAACAAAAUGCUACAGUGUUCAUUUUAUAAAAAUUUUGGUAACUAAACAAAGCCUUAGCUAUCUAUACAUAGGGAUAGAUCGCAGUGAGAAUGAACCGAUGAAAACCGGCUGACCUAAACUCUGAUCUCCAAGGCUGGAGGGUAAGUUCUCCACUAGUAGUUGUGUUAUAGUAGUGUUCCUCAUUCUAUUUGACCCAAAUUAAAUCGGCGGUUUAACCGAUUGGACCAAUCAAAUCCGGUUCGGUCCUAGUAACUUGGGUACAGAUAGCUACGCGGGUCUGGAGUCUAUACCAGCAGCAUGUUACGACGAUCGUCCCCCGGCCCUGCCCGUUUCGUUGCCAAGCAAGUUUGGUCGUUUUUUUUUUUUGGAACAAGUUUGGUCGGUUUAAAACAAGUGCCGUGCAUCGCAAAAUACAGCAACACUUUCUCUUGGUCUACGAGGAACUAUAUAGACGUAGCACGAGUAGUUGGCAAUGAACCAAACCUCGACACGGCACAUGCAGCAGUAGCACGUGACAAACAACCAAAUCAAACAUCCAGUCCACUAGCUAGCCGAUCAUAGUUUUUUUUUUUACGGAACCUAGCCGAUCAUAGUUCUAUAUAUACUCCUAUAUAUAGCCACUCGCUAAACCAUGGCACGCCAUCGGUCGCAGCUCACAAGCAGCGCCAUGGGGAGCGCCACCAUGCCACGAAGUUUCGCCGCGCCACGCGCGCCAUGCCGCAGCCUCCAUACGCUCAGGUGCAGGUGCAAGGCUACCGGCGGCGCCGACCGCCGCGACGUGCUCCUCGGCCUCGGCGGGGCGGCGGCGGCCGGCCUCCUCAGCUCGUCGUUGUCGAACCGCGGCGGUGCGCUCGCGGCGCCCAUCCCGGCGCCGAACCUCAGCAACUGCCAUCCACCUGACCUCCCCGACACGGUGAGCGACAUCAACUGCUGCCCGCCGGGCGCGGGGACGGCGAUCGUCGACUUCACGCCGCCGCCGACGGUCGGGCGCCGCGUGCGCCCGGCCGCGCACCUGGUGGACGAGGAGUACGUUGCCAAGUACGAGAAGGCCGUGGCGCUGAUGAAGGAACUGCCGGACGACGACCCGCGCAGCUUCACGCAGCAGUGGCGCGUGCACUGCGCCUACUGCGACGGCGCGUUCGACCAGGUCGGGUUCCCGGACCUGGAGAUCCAGAUACACAACUGCUGGCUCUUCUUCCCGUGGCACAGGUGACGACGACGGUUCCAUGCAUGCUGGCGUCAUGUGAUCUUAGCUUGCUCGUGUAUAUGCUUUAGCGAUUGAUAAUAAUUAAUUAACGUGCAACUUUUGUGAACGUCGUUGCACUGCUUAGUUAGUUUCACAAAUUGGACAACGCGUGCAGGUUGUACCUGUACUUCCACGAAAGGAUUCUUGGGAAGCUCAUCGGCGACGACAAGUUUGCGCUGCCGUUCUGGAACUGGGACGCGCCCGGCGGCAUGUCGCUGCCGGCGAUCUACGCCAACAAGUCCUCCCCGCUGUACGACGAAAGGCGUGACCCUGCUCACCAGCCGCCAUUCACGGUGGACCUCGACUACGACAGGAUCGAGCAAAACAUCCCAAGAGCUCAGCAGAUCGAUCAGAACCUGAUGAUCAUGUACCGUCAGGUCAGUGUUAGUAUAGCUAGCUAGCUGGCUGUGUCUUGUUGUACGAAAUAUUACACCCUCGAUCAGGUGUCAGGUUUGCUAGUGCGACACUGCACUAACAGUGAACACUCAGUUCUUGGACGUAACUGAACACUUGAUCUUAAAACUUUAAAAUUGAACACUUGAUGUCUGAUUAGCAUAUGGAUGAUACACAUGCAUGUCUCUACUCUACGUCAGAUGAUCUCCGGUGCCAAGAAGAAGGAACUCUUCUUUGGGCUGCCUUACCACCAGGGCGACCAGCCAGACCCAGGCGCAGGCACCGUAGAGAGCGUCCCGCACGGCCCAGUACACUUCUGGAGCGGCGACCCGAGCCAGCCGAACAACGAGGACAUGGGCAACUUCUACUCCGCCGCGCGCGAUCCACUCUUCUUCGCGCACCACGGCAACAUCGACCGCCUGUGGUCGGUCUGGAACGGCCUCCGCGCCGGCAACACCAACUUCACCGACCCCGACUGGCUGAACGCCAGCUUCCUCUUCUACGACGAGGAGGCCCGCCUCGUGCGCGUCCGCGUCCGCGACUGCCUGGACACCGCUGCCCUGGGCUACAGCUACCAGGAUGUUGCCCUGCCGUGGCUGAACGCCAGGCCGACCACGGAGACCGGUUCUCCGGUUCCCGCCGCGGGCGCGCUCCCGGCGACCCUGAACCAGACCGUGAGGGUGGCCGUGACGCGGCCCAGGACCUCGAGGACCCGCCAGGAGAAGGACGCGGAGGAGGAGGUGCUGGUCGUCGAGGGGAUCGAGGUCGCCGACCACUUCAGCAGGUUCGUCAAGUUCGACGUGUUCGUGAACGAGUGCCAGGGCGGGGGCGGCAUGGGGGCGGCGGUGGCGCAGUGCGCGGGGAGCGUGGCGAUGACGCCGCACCUGGUUCGGCCCGGGAAGGGUAGGGGCUCCGUGAAGACCGCGGCGAGGUUCGGCAUCUGCGACCUGCUCGACAACAUCGGCGCUGACGGGGACAAGACGAUCGUCGUGUCGCUCGUGCCGAGGUGCGCCGGAGACAUGGUUACUGUCGGUGGCGUCCGGAUCGAGUAUGUUAAGUGAGGUCCUUCUAUUACGUCCUACCCUCCUACGAGUACAUCUCACAAGUGCUAGGGCCUAGAGACAACUGCUCUACGACCAGGAGUAUAUAUCAGGUAUACAUGAAUAACUGUGUGAUGCUGUACGUGUAUGGACGACUCCUGUUGAACUAUAUAUGUAGGGAACUAUUUGGGAUUGUGUUUGCGUGCCGCCGUGAUUAUAUAAUAUGGGCCAAUGUCAAUGCGACAUCAAUAAUUAACAAAUAAGGGCAUUAGUGUCUGUAAUGUGUAACAGCAUGACCAUAGAGAACAGUGACUACCGUGUCGCCGGAGAAAAACUUGUAAUGCGAUCGGAGAAAGGGUGGACACCAAUGGCAGUAUGUGGGGUGUAAAGCGCCACUCAGAUUGCUCAGAAGAUGGCAGAACCGCAUGUCAAACCAGUGACCGAUGUAAUGGUGUAGAUAAAUCACGACAUACGGAACUCAUCCAUUAACCAAAUCAAGGAAAAGCUGUACACAAAUUACGACAUACAAUACUAUCCAUUAAUCAACUCAAGGAGAUGCUCUAGAGAAAUUACGACAUAUGAAAUUCAUCCAUUCUCCAAUAUACCCAUUCGAAAGUGGCCCACACGAUGUAUGUGUGUGUGCGCGCGCGCGUGAUUCCCGUGUACUCAUCCGGGGUGUUCAGUACUAUUCACCACCAAGGCCUCGGAAUAGUGUGUGUAUAUGAGAGAGAGAGAGAGAGAGAGAUGCAACAUGCAUAUUUAUUUUUUAGACAAAGAAAUUACAUGCAUGUUUAUUAAGUUGUUGUAGAAAUUAGUAAACGAAGAUGUGGUUUGAAAGGCAAGAAAUGAUGUUGAAUGGUCGUUAGAUUUUGACAUAAAGAGUAUUCACUCUAUUACAUGCAGGUCAUCUUUAUAGAGCCACACACACUGGAUGAUAAGCUUAGGGUCCUGUUGCAAAAGUAGAAUACUGAAUAAUUAAGAUGCUGUGGAAACGACAGUCAUGGAUAUCUUUACCGGCCAUGCAUGGAUGAAAGUCAUCCGAUAGAGAUUUAUCACUUACUAUUCCGUUUGAGCCUAUUCCACCCAAACUUUAAUAAUAAAUGAUUUUGGAGGAUACGUUCGAACUUUGAUAAUGUAUGGCUUAUUAAGUAAUUCCCCGUCCAUUUUUAUACAUCGUUCUCACUCCUCAAACGUGUACCUAACUUUUACUAAAUAUAUAUUAAAAUAUUAAUAUUUAUAAUACAUAAUUAGUACCACUAGAUAGAUCUUUAAUUUAUUUUUACAAAAAAUUUAUUUAAAAAUACAAAUAUUUGCUAAUAUUUUAUAUUAAUCUAGUUAAGAUUAAAAAAAGUUUAACUAACACUCAUCUCAUAUAUAGCGACACAGACUAAGGGAUAGAGGGAAUAUUCCGUAUACAUCCUAUUCAAAGGACGACAUAAGCCUGUUUAAAUAAGUCAAAAUAAACCAAUGUGUUUUUUUAAAGGAAAAUAUAGUUGCACGCACCAACUUCAACUUGUGUGAGCACAUCUACAGUACCUCUUGCAGCAACAGCUCUUGUUUUUUUUUUUUUUGAAGGAAACAGCUCUUGCUUUAGUAGAAGCGAAUUCCCUUUUUCCCUUCUUCGAUCUGAAAAGAGACUUAUCAUCUGUUCUCUGGUCCAGGCAAAUCGCACAUAUCAGAAAAAGUGGUUUUUGCCACUUACCAAGUCCGAUCGAUGUUUACAGUAGGACUUUCGUGUGCUGCUGCUAGUACGUAGGUUCUCCUUUUUUCGUCGGAAAUAAUUAGUUACUCAUACGGAAUAAUGUGAACCGUCAUCUGCUCAUCACCAUCGUGGUUAUAGCAGUAGGACUUUCGUGCGCGUGUGACAAAAACGAAGCUGACAAACGUUCUGCGUGUGUGUCAGAUCGAUGUGGUAUAUAGCUAAGGCUAUCAGGAUAUAUUUGGUGUGUGGUACGAGUUCGAUCGGGCGCAUAUAGCUUGUCUAUACCAGCAGCAUGGUACACGAUCAUCGGCCCCCAGCCCGUUUCGUUAAUUACAGCGCAAGUUUUGUUCGGUUUAAAGUAUGCAUGUGCCGUGCGUGCAUCGCAAAAUUACAGUCACACACGACAAAGCAUAUGUAUAGACGUAUAGCACGUACUCCACCUGGCAACGAACCAAUCCUCGACACUUACGACACAUGUACGUAGAGUAGCACGUAACAAAACAAGCUAGUAGACCACAUGGUACGGCACAUCCAGCCCUAGCUAGUCGAUCAAUCACAUGUCCACACGUUCUGUAUAUUGCUUCUCGCGCUAAACUAUGGCAUUGGGCAAAAAAAACUUUUACCGAAUAAGACUCUGCCGAGACCCUUUUACCGAGUGUAAAUAUAUAUGGCUUUACCGAAACACUUGGCAAAGCAACUGGCUGCCGUAACAGGCCGGCCGAUCACAUGUCAUGCAACUCACAGGUUCACACUUCGUUCACAGCAGGUUCAUCACUGAGCAGCAGCUAGCGCCAUGGAGAGCAUCAUGUACUCAUGCCACGAGGUUUCGCCGCUCGUCGCGCGCCAUGCAUACCAUACUGUACGUACGUAGCCUCCAGACGCUCAGGAUGCAACGCUCUACCGGCGGUGCCCGACCGCCGCGACGUGCUCCUCGGCCUCGGUGUGGAGCGGCAGCUAGCGGCCGGCCUCCUCGAUCAAUAACGUCUUGCUAAAUUUGCUACAUUUUGAGUUUUCUCGUCAAUAAAUUUGGCUAGCUGUUCUAACCUUUAAGCCGUGGCAUCUUAUGACUGCCAAGCAAAACAAGCGCUAAAGCUCUUGUAGCAGGUAGCUACAAUCGUUUUGGUUCGACAGCCUCCAAUCCCUUUUGCUACUUAUAUAUGUACACCCUGCACUGCAAAUGCAUAUAUGAUCUCUUCAUCUCAACCAUUAAGAUAGGAACCUCUCAUCUGUACAUUCUUCUUCUUCCUCCGGUACGAGCUAACCGCACGUACAGAUCAGGAAAAUUAAAGGUAGGGUUCACCCAUCUGUCCGUGAUUCUCGCAUCUAGAUAGUUUAUCUGCGCUCACAAAUUGUUGCGUGUGUGUAAUUAGAUUCGGUUGAUAGAUAAGCAUGUCACGAUCUCGUGUACUUGUAUUCCGGUGAACUUUGCGUCAAACUGCAGCACCCAGGCCCAUAUAUACGUACUACUCAACCAGCAUGUCACGACCGGCUCCCUUUCGUUACCAAGUUUCCUUCGGUUUAAAAGCAUACAUAUAUAUGCACCGUUCUUUCAUUACUUUCUCCAGCUCCUGGAGGAGAAGACACGACCCAUAGCAUCACUUGCGUAUAACAAACUGUCAAACAACCAAACAGGCACGCAUCAGCAGUGAGAUACUCAGGUCAUAUGUACCCAUGAUGCCGUCUCGCAAAAAAAAUGUACCGAUGAUGUCAUAAUACUACAUCUAGAUAUAUAUACUCCCUCUACUCUAACUUGUAAGUAUUUUUCUAGCUUUUUUAAAUAUAUAAUUUUUGUUAUGCGGACGAGCCAAUAGCUCGGUUGGUAAAGCAUCCCCAUUGUGCAAUGAUGUAGGUCAGGAGUUCGACUCCCCACCUCCAUAUACGCAGGUUUGCUAGUUGUAAAUAAAAUUUUUCGUUUGUCCCAUGUCAAAGCACAGGUCUAAGGUUAGCCCUAGUCUUACGUGUGUUGCGGUACCGCUACGUAUGGGUAGGGCAGAGGUUCAAGUUUUUCUUGACCUAUAUGAAAAAAGUCUUCUUCUUAAUCACAAUGUCUGACCUACACACAAAGAUCCUAAGCACAGUGCCCCCGGUGUUGACACUCAAAAGUGUCCCAACAUGAAAUAUGGGCAUAACCAACACGUUUCUGACAUCCCAGAGGUGUUGGAAAUAGUUGGUGAAGUAAUCAAACAAAAAAGGAAGAAAGUGGCGUCUGCCUUGGCAGAGCCGACUUGGCUGACUUUGCAUAGUCGAUAAAACUAGUUCUUCAUGCCCCAAUUCGCUUAGCCGACUCCUAAGUCGGCUAAGCCGACUUUCCUCUAUGUCGGCCAAGCCACAAUGCUCAAACCUCGUGAAAAUCGGCUCAGCCGACUCCCAAGUCGGCUAAAGCCGGCUUUCAUUGGUAUUCCGAGUCAGUUUGGUUUCCGAAACAGUUUUGGACCCAUUUUAAACAGGGAAUUUGGAGAAUGUGUUUUGGAAUUGUUUCCUAGUAAGAUAAAACCACGCCGUCUCUAUAUACGAAAGGAUCAUGGUCGAUUAAGGAUCCCAACUUACAAUCAUCAAAAUACAUCUAUUACAGGCCUUUUACCCUCUUUUCUCCCUAUUCGUCAGUUCGUCACGUCUCCUAGCGAGAUUUAAUGGCGUUCGAGGCACCCUUGCUAGUCUUAGGAAACCCUCCGUGUGCUCCUCCUCGACGGAUCUUCCCAAGAGAUGCUCAAAAUUCUAACAGGUGAAAAACAGGCUCGACAUUGGCCUAACCGAUCUCUAGAUUGGUGUCUCGGUUCGCUGCAUUCUUGCUGUGAUCAAGGUCAUGUGUUUACCGUAGAUAUGCUAACCGUAGCUGGUGUGCGAUCCGAAACACUAUCCAACAUCAUUGCACCAACACCCAGGGGCCGUCGUAAUCCCUGCAGGUCGAGCUUUUUUUUGAGGGGGAGGGGGAGAGGGGAUGGACUUAGAUAUAUAUAUAUAUAUAUAUAUAUAUAUAUAUAUAUAUAUAUAUAUAUAUAUAUAUAUAUAUAUAUAUAUAUAUAUAUAUAUAUAUAUAUAAGUUAAAACAAGUUAUAAUUAGAAGGAAGGGAUAUAAAAAACUAUUCAAUCAUCUGUUCUGGUCGUCAGAGCUAAUCGCACUUACCAGUCCAUGACUCGCCUGUCAAACGACGAUGUUUAUAGCUGCUGCUUUUUUCGUCGGGAUUAAUGAACUGAUAGCGAAUGUGAACUGUGUGAUCUCCAUCCUACGGGGGUUAGCAGUAGCACUUACGUGCGCGUGUGACAAACGAAGCUGACAGCAUUCUGCGUGUGAGAUGUGGUACAGAUAGAGAGUAUAUAACUCUAAGCAUGUCACGAUUUAGUGUGUUCGGUGAAUUUUGCGUCAAAUUAAACGACCCAUACUUAGCUAUCAACAUUCUGCGUGUGAGAUGUGAUACAUAGAGUUAGAUAGCUACAGUACGUAAUUUUCUCUUGGUCUACGAGGAACUAUAUAUAUAGACGUACGUAGCACGCAUAGUUUUUUGAAACGAUUUUUUGUUUUUUUGAAACACGAGUAGCACGCAUAGUUGGCAACGAACCAAACAUCGACACGACACAUGUAGCAGUAGCACGUAAUAAACAGCCAAAUGAAACAUCAGUCUAGUAGCCGAUCAUAGCUCACACGUUCUAUAUAUAGCCACUCGAUCGGUAAACCAUGGCACGGCACCGAUCGCAGCUCACAAAGUUCACACACUUCACAGCACGCUCACCACUGAGCAGCACCUAGCGCCAUGUUGAGCGCCACCAUGCCACGAGGUUUCGCCGCGCUUCGCGCGCCGCCAUGCUGCAGCCUCCAGACGACGCUGAGGUGCAAGGCUACCGGCGGCGCCGACCGCCGUGACGUGCUCCUCGGCCUCGGCGGCGCGGCAGCGGCCGGCCUCCUCACGUCGUCGUCCAGCCGCGGCGGUGCGAUCGCGGCGCCGAUCCAGGCGCCGGACCUCCGGGACUGCCACCCGCCCGACCUCCCCGACACGGUGGGCGACGUCAACUGCUGCCCGCCGGGCGCGGGGACGGCGAUCGUCGACUUCACGCUGCCGCCGGCGGUCGGGCUCCGCGUUCGCCCGGCCGCGCACCUGGUGGACGAGGAGUACCUGGCCAAGUACGAGAAGGCCGUGGCGCUGAUGAAGGAACUGCCGGACGACGACCCGCGCAGCUUCGCGCAGCAGUGGCGCGUGCACUGCGCCAACUGCGACGGCGCGUUCGACCAGGUCGGGUUCCCGGACCUGGAGAUCCAGAUACACAACUGCUGGCUCUUCUUCCCGUGGCACAGGUGACGACGACGGAUCCAUGCAUGCUGGCGUACGUGUAGGGUGUCACAUGUGAACUAAGGCUCGUGUAUGCUUUAGCGAUUAAUAAUUAAUUAACGUGCAACUUUUGUUCUGAAGUUCAACGUCUAUUGCACUGCUUAAUUAGUUCUCUUUCACAAAUUGGACAACGCGUGCAGGUUCUACCUGUACUUCCACGAAAGGAUUCUUGGGAAGCUCAUCGGCGACGACAAGUUUGCACUGCCGUUCUGGAACUGGGACGCGCCCGGCGGCAUGUCGAUGCCGGCGAUCUACGCCAACAAGACCUCCCCGCUGUACGACGAAAGGCGUGACCCUGCUCACCAGCCGCCAUUCACGCUGGACCUCGACUACGACGGGACCGAGCCAACCAUACCAAGACAUCAGCAGAUCGAUCAGAACCUAAUGAUUAUGUACCGUCAGGUCAGUGUUAGUAUAGUCUUGUUGUACGCAAUAUUACAACCUCAGUUCUUGGAAGACCGCACUAACAUUGAACACUCAGUUCUUCGACGUAAUUGAACACUUCAUCACUGAUUAGCAUACGGAUGGAUACACAUGUAUGUCUCUUAUAUACGCCAGAUGAUCUCCGGUGCCAAGAAGAAGGAGCUCUUCUUUGGGCUUCCUUACCACCAGGGCGACCAGCCAGACCCCGGCGCAGGCAGCGUCGAGCUCAUCCCGCACAACACAGUACACUUCUGGAGCGGCGAUCCGAGGCAGCCCAACGGAGAGGACAUGGGCAACUUCUACUCCGCCGCGCGCGAUCCGCUCUUCUUCGCGCACCACGGCAACAUCGACCGCCUGUGGUCGGUCUGGAACGGCCUCCGCGCCGGCAACACCAACUUCACCGACCCCGACUGGCUGAACGCCAGCUUCCUUUUCUACGACGAGGAGGCCCGCCUCGUGCGCGUCCGCGUCCGCGACUGCCUCGACACGGCCGCCCUGGGAUACACCUACCAGGACGUCGCCCUGCCGUGGCUGAACGCCAAGCCGACCACGGAGACCGGGUCUCCGGCGCCCGCCGCGGGCGCGCUCCCGGCGACCCUGAACCGGACCGUGAGGGUGGCCGUGACGCGGCCCAGGACCUCGAGGACCCGCCAGGAGAAGGACGCGGAGGAGGAGGUGCUGGUCGUCGAGGGGAUCGAGGUCGCCGACCACUUCAGCAGGUUCGUCAAGUUCGACUUGUUCGUGAA
Molecule: long non-coding RNA, 49880 nt
Filed under: Sorghum bicolor (sorghum)
Lineage: Eukaryota; Viridiplantae; Streptophyta; Magnoliopsida; Poales; Poaceae
Description: long non-coding RNA (SBIC_LNC011367)
Source: RNAcentral